Molecule: long non-coding RNA, 48557 nt
Filed under: Ananas comosus (pineapple)
Lineage: Eukaryota; Viridiplantae; Streptophyta; Magnoliopsida; Poales; Bromeliaceae
Description: long non-coding RNA (ACOM_LNC022679)
Source: RNAcentral
CAUCUAUUUGUCUUCUCAUGAGUUAAUGCUAUAAAUUUUCACCAUUGUUCCUAAAGCAUGUGACAAAGAACUUAGUGAUUGAUAUCGGAGGUCCAAAGUUCAAAUCCUAGUUGAUUUAUAUUUUCAGUUAAAUUUAUUUUUAAAUAAAAUAAACGAAGAGCAUAGCGUGCUUGAAGUUUUCUUCUAUAAAAAAUUCCAAAAAAAAAUAAAGUCGACCAUAUGUUGUGAAAAUAAGAAAAGUUCUAAGAAAGAAUAAAGUCGUACAUAUCUAUGAUUUAAUACAACAAUAUUUAAAGCUGGAUAAUAUUAAGACCUCGUUUGGAUGUCGAAAUAAGUUUGUCCAAUAAUAAUUUAUUCGGUGUGAAGUUUUUUUUGUAUAUAUCUGUGGAAAGUAGAUGUUAAUUUUUUUGCUUUUUAAAAGGUCUUAACAUUCAUUAUAGAAUUGUAUUAUACUGUGUAAUUUAUUAUAUUUCAAAAAUAUGAUUUUAAAGUCGAAUAUGAUUUUUUUCAUUUUAAGUGUCGACACACUCCUCAUUUUUAAUUAUAAUAAAAAAAUUAUACUAAACAAAUAUCACUGAAUAAUAUAAAUUUCCAAACAAAGCUUAAAGAUAUCCCUAUCGCACCUAGCCCUUAUUCCAGAAUCAUAUCAAUCAAUUCCUAUUUAUUUAUUCAUUUUAAUUUGCUAUCCAUCAAUCAUCAAUCGAAUUCUUCAGAAGCACUAUCGGAAGCUUCAAAAGUGGUAUCUCUCAACAAGGUGGGAGAAGACCAACAAAUUAAUGUGCUCAGCCCAAUUCGAGAUUAAGACGUUAUUCACGUAUAGCAUAUAUAUCUUUUUAAAGCAAUGCUAUAGGUACAGAGUAGAGUGUAUAUUUAUACACCUACUUAAUUCUAAAGUUAUUCUUUAUUAUAUCAAUUUUUUAAAAUUUUACUAAAAAUUAAUACGAUUUUUAUGAAUUCUAAAAUUGCGGGUGUAAAAUGCACACUCCUUUUUGGGGUGUACAAGAAGCAUUUUUCUUUUUAAAUAUACACGCAUGUAUUAGUCCACUCACUAAGUUUGGUUAAACUAUUAACCCGUGUCUGAAAAUAGUGAACAAUAGCCUGGCUAUUAUCCUUUUUCAAAGUUUGGAGGAAGCGGGGAGAAAUUCUAUCAAAGGGAGGCUGUACAUAAAAACUAACAAAUGUGCAAAUCAAUUGUUUGUUUUGAUCUCCAAUCGAUCAGAAUCGACAAGGUUAGGCUGCUAAAGAAUGGCUUAAUUAAUUAAUUAACUUGCAUCUGCAGAUAUUCGGGUCAGAUAUUUUAAUUUUAAGUAGUCAACGAAGCAACCGUGCAGUUACUAGCAGUAGACUAGUUAAGCAGGGGGCUAUAAAAUGUAAAUUCAAGUGAAUGAUAAUGAAUCUAAAUUAUCUACCAAAGAUUGAAAAUUUUACUAAAGAUUGAUAAUGGAUUGUCACUCAGCAACCACAUUCAAGUCUGGCAGCUAAAAGAGUGAUAGAACAACAGCUAGCCUCAGACAGGAUUAAGUCCGCAUCAAUAUAAUGCAAGCAUUGCUAUGCUAGAGGAUCACUUCUUAGUUUCAUGGACACAAGAGGUUGGAUGGUAUGACCCUCAACCUACUAUGUAUGGUACACAUAAUUAAAUGCUCACUUUAAAAAAGAGAGAGAGUGUGUGUGUGAGAGAGAGAGAGAGAGAGAGAGAGAGAGAGAUGUGUGGCACUUCACCCACUCGAGAAGUGACUCCUACGAUCAGUUGAGAAAAAGCACUCCUGGGUCCUGGCACUACUCUAUCUCCCGUUUGACUCAGGUCCAUGAUCUCUCCACCACCACCACCACCACCACGUCCUCUCCCUCCGCUACAUCACCAUCCCCACUCCACCUCCACCUCCACCUCCACCUCCACUAUGGAUUGCAAUAUGCCUCUGGGCCACCACCACCACCACCACCACCACCAACACCACUUCUCAAUCCUUAAUUUGAUAGCUCAAGAAAAACCCAUCAUUCCAUUCCCACCCAACCCAACCCAACCCAACCCUGAGAUAAACACGUCCGUACGUGGUGAGACCACCACGCACCCAAAGCACCGCAAAAUAAAAAACGAAGAAGAAAAACAAAAAAAAUUGAAGUGAGACUCAAGCAAUAGUAGAAGAUCAGCGAGAGAGUAUAGAAAAAGGUGCUCUCUAGUCUCACGCAAAAGUGAAUAUUGGUGGGCUACAUUUUCCUGAUAGCUACUUCGUGCUUCCCGGUUCCCGCUCGAGCGUUACAUUUUGUUUUUUUGUUUUUUGUUUUUUUUUUUUUUCUGGUCAUUCGAUUAUUCUUAUUUGUUUUUAUAUAAUAAUAUCUUCACUCUCGUGGAACCCAGCGCGAGGGGUAACGCACGAGAAGGGGUCGAUUCUCGUCGAACUUUCCACCUAAUUUUUACAGUUAUCUUUAUCUUAUCUCAUUUGUGUGGCGCAACCAAAAUAGUAAUAAGGUAAAAAAAAAGAAAAAAAAAAUCAAAUAACCCUUCAAUAAAUUAAUUAAGCUAAAGUAUUCUAGCAAAUUUAAUACUUUUAUUAUUAAUUACUAGUUAUCAUUUGUUGGCAAUAAAUUAAAUUAAAUUAAAUUAAAUUAAAUUAUUUAUUUAUUAGGGAGUAAUUAUUAUAACUAUUAAAUUUGAUAAAAUUACUUUUAAAUGUAAUAAAAUUUUGGAUAUAAAAUUUGAUAAAAUUACUCAUGUCAAAAAAAAUCAAAUGGGCAGAAGAAAUAUCAAGAAAAAAAAAUAAAAAGAUGCGUAUAAUUGAGGGCAUCUCCGUACAUUCUAAACAAAAGAAAAGAAAAGAAAAGAAAAGAAAAGGGAAGGAAAAAAACAAUGGAGGAGAGAGGAAUUUUAAAACAUAUUUUGUUUCUUUCAGUUUUUGGUCCCACUCGUGGAAAAUAAGAAAAAACCACCCACUCGGGUUUGAACGGCCAACCGUAUUUACUCCUCAAUACCACCUAUCCCUCCAUCUGACAUCUCUGGUCACAGUAACAGGUAACAACACCAUGUCUCAUUCAACGCUCCCAUAAGUGGGAAAAGAGAGAGAGAGAGAGAGAGAGAUAGAUAGAUAUUUCCUCUCUCCUUUCCUGCAGCUUUAACAUUGCUUUUGCUGUUGCUGUGUCAAACAUCAAACCCAACACAAACCCCUCCCUCAUGCGCGUGAGGCUGUUUCGGUGGAGGAGAUGGUAUCCUUCUGAGAGGUUUGGGUGUGGGUCUGGGGCGUUCUUCUACUAACUAAGAGGGGUGUCAUUAAUGGGUAAUUGUUGGUUUAGGGGGAACUCUUCCAUCCACAGAGUAUCUUCCAAUGCAAAAUCUGGUAAUUUUAAUGCUCUUCCGAGUUCGAAUCGGUGUUUAAUUGCUUUUGAUAUUGGUUUCUGUUUUCUUCUCUCUCUCUCUGCACUUGGAUUACCGAAAUUCUUAUGUUAUUAUUAUUGGAUUAUUACAUAUUUUGCUUUAGGAAUCCUCUUCAUGUUCUUUUUGAUGCAUGUUUGUUGGGUAAUCAGUUUGGGGGAAAAAAAAGAUACAGAAUUUCGGAACUCUUUUCUUUUUUUCUUUUUUUUUUUUUUUACUGAAGAUCAAAACCAUGCUUUUUGGUUAAGAUUCCAUUAUAGUAAGGGAAUUAUUAAAAUACAUUAAAAGGAACAGUUACUUUUCUUUAAUGUAUUCCAUCUUUGUCUCACAAGGCAACAAGAAAGAAACCUUUUUUUUUUUUUCACCUCAUUACUUUCAAAUUAAAAAUUGUUUAGUGUUGGCCUGUGAGAUUAGUAGUUUGUCCCAAGAUUCUCAAGCUAUGCUGAUUAAUCAAAUAUUUGCAAGGAUAUUUCAAACUCAGAAUCUCUUUCCACAUUAGUUGUUGAUCAUAACAACAUAUGCCCAGAGAAGUUCUAUGCACUUUACAUAUUUAUUGCGGUUAUAUUACUCUGAAAUGAAACUUGCUGGCAAUAGAAUCUCCGAAAGUCCGGAGCCCUUCAGCGAAGGAGGGGUUAAAAGAAGGCAGCAGACUGCCCUCGAACCCAAAAGAAGUCGAGGACUUGCGACGAGAUUCGGCCACGAAUCCUCUGAUUGCAUUCACAUUUGAAGAACUCAAGACAAUUACAGGGAAUUUUAGGCAGGAUUAUGUCUUGGGUGGAGGGGGAUUUGGAAGUGUUUAUAAAGGAUAUAUCACUGAAGAUCUUAGGGAGGGAUUUCAACCUCUGCAAGUUGCUGUGAAGGUUCAUGAUGGUGAUAAUAGUUUUCAGGGUCACAGGGAGUGGCUGGUAUAUAACUUUCCUUUGCUAAAUUACAUUCUCUCUCUCUCUCUCUGUCUCUCUCUCUCUCUCUCUCUAUAUAUAUAUAUAUAUAUAUAUGCUUUAUUUAUCUGCUUAUUUUAGUUAGUAGCAGGCAGCUAUUUAUUAGUUAUGAGAUAUUUUUGAUAUCUGUAGGCUGAGGUUAUAUUCCUUGGGCAACUUUCGCAUCCGAAUUUGGUGAAACUGGUCGGAUACUGUUGCGAAGAUGAGCACCGAGUUUUAAUAUAUGAGUUCAUGCCUCGGGGUAGCGUGGAAUCAAAACUGUUUUCAAGUAAUUUCUCUUGUCUGCACUUGCUAGUUGUUGCUUUAAGUAGAUUAAUUUCUUUUGGAAUGGUUUAAAGUGCAUAUGCUGUGAAACUACAAUGAUCAUUCUACUCGAAUUGUGUGAUUCUUUUUGUUGUUGUUAGUAAAAAUUUCUUAUGUUACCAUACUAGCUAGCUGUUUCACUAAUUUUUUCAAAUUGAUGUAAUUAGUUAACAUUUUCGAAUUGUUGUGCCUUACGAUUACAUUGUUUUCUUAAUAUGUAACUAGGAUGCUUAAAUGCUAGCAUUCCACACACACUAAAAAAAGAUGCUUUAAUGCUGCCAUCGAAAUUCAUUUUGUGGUCAAUGUAGGAACUAACCUUUUAUCCGUGAUUCUCUAAAUGAUAUUCAUCUUCUAUUGCCUUACUUUUUGUUCCCUUGUAGGGGUGUUGCUUCCGCUUCCAUGGUCCACAAGAAUGAAGAUUGCAUUUGGCGCUGCAAAAGGGCUUGCUUUCCUCCAUGAAGCUGAAAAGCCAGUAAUAUACCGAGAUUUUAAAACAUCAAAUAUUUUGCUAGACGAGGUUAGUACGCUGUAGCUACCUUUAAAUGUUUUGAUGUCUUCGACUAAGUCCCAUAACUAUGGAUAACAACUUUUUUUCGUGGCUCUUCUUUUGUUCAAUACCAUGCAUUGUGUCUAUAUGUUGUUUGCUGCUUAUUUGGUCAUUUAGACCUUAGAAGUAUCUAUUUGUUGACUAGCUCAUAUUGGUGUUGUCGUGGAGGUAAACCUCUAAAGAAACCAGUGUCUCAUCUUUUUCCCACAAAAAGUACUUGGAAUGUAUAUGUAAAUGCAUAGCAUAAGGUCAAAAGUUGCUUCAUCUUGCGUUCCAUUCAAGGAUUUAAGUGCCGUGGCACGGGAUCGUGCCGGAAACUUGCCGGCACGGUACGGCACGGUGCGUGCCGAGCCGUGCCGAUGCGUGCCGGUAAAAAAAAUUCUUAUGUGCCGACACAUAAUAGCAUGAAAUAUUUAUUUUCUUUAGCAACAAAAUAUUCUAGCUAUUUAUUAUGUCUUUUUAUCGCAUCUUUUGAACUUUAUUGAGGAAAUUACUUACUACUUUAAAGAAUAGAGGGUUUUGAGCUGUGCUAUCGGCACGGGGUUUGUAUCGUGCCGGUAUUUUGUUGGCACGGUGGAUACGGCCCGUGCUGACGGGCACUUAAAACCUUGGUUCCAUUCAUGUAUGGAAGAAACUAAAAGGAAAUUUCUGGCAACCUUUCAGAAGCUCUGUUAGUGCAUCAAAGAAAUGGUUAUCCCCAUUAAAUGGGUGAAGUCAUUUAUUAAAUCAUAAAUACUUUGUACCUUCUAUUCCAUCGAUUUGUAAAUAAUUCUUAUGGUAUUCUUUUGCUUUCACAGUUUCACCAUUGUAAGCAACACUCUUUAAUUUCGUCCCCACAAAAACUAUCGUGGUUUUAAUGGUUUCGUUGUAGAUGCAAUGAUUGUGCUGUAGCUAUAAUUGCAUUUCUCUUUAAGCACUUAUUGCAACAUUUUGAACUUAUCUUUGUUUAGAUCAUUUCGCACUUCGUAUCCUGCAGUACUCUUGUUGCAAUUUCUCUUAUUCUUUGGUAACAUUUAUAGGAUUACAAUGCAAAACUCUCUGAUUUUGGGCUUGCAAAAGAUGGGCCAGUAGGUGAUAAAUCUCAUGUUUCUACGCGCAUUAUGGGAACUUAUGGGUACGCAGCCCCAGAAUACAUCAUGACAGGUAGUGUAUAUGCUUGUGUAUUCUCUAGUUUAGAAUUUCUGUGUCUUUUGAGUUUUUGGGUUAUGGAAUGGCCUAAAGAGGUACAGUUCUGUACAGGUUUAGUUCAGUUAGAUAUUGCUGAUAGAUGUAAUUUGUGUUAUUUAAAAUUUGAAGUUCCAUUAGAGGUUGCUGUUAAAAAAAUAUUUUUGAAGUGGUCUGUUGAGACAAAAAAUAACAUGUGACUUGUGUAGCAGUGAACUUUUGACACACACACACACAUACACACAAAGGAAGGUCUUGAGCUUGGCAUAUGCUUCAUUUGUUACGUUGAUUAUAGUUCUUGUACCAUUCAAAAAGCAAGCAAACUGUGAGGAUUCUAUUUUUAAUUCCUGAUGCUACUUGGACAAGCAAAUUGGUAAAUGAAGUAUCAACAUAAAAAUUUUAGAAACAAGAUUUCUUAAUUUAUCAAAGCUAAAUCCGUGAGUAGCUGUACGAAAAUAAAAUAAAUUCUGGUGAGGAACAUGCUAGAUUGCGAGUAUAUCCCUCUCUUUGAAACAAUAACAUAGCAACUAUGAUGACUUGACAGAAAUUUGCUGCUUGUAAUAAGACAUUAUCGCCAUUUAGAUUACUAGAAUGCUAAGACACGGAUGGACGUUAUAUCUGAUCUGAUAACUUUUUUCACUUCCUCCAUGUAGGGCAUCUGACUGCGAUGAGUGAUGUUUAUAGUUACGGAGUCGUCCUCCUUGAACUACUCACGGGCAGAAAAUCGUUGGACAAGUCCCGGCCGGUUCGCGAGCAGACACUCGCAGACUGGGCCUUCCCAUUGCUGACCCAAAAAAAGAAAGUGUUGAGCAUCGUGGAUGCUAGGCUUGAAGGCGACUAUCCUGUUAAAGCCGUCCACAAGACGGCCAUGCUGGCUUACCACUGCCUUAGCCGUAACCCAAAAGCACGGCCUCUUAUGCGAGACAUCGUAGAUUCUUUAGAACCUCUUCAGCAACCUGCAGAGACUUCUGUAGAGGCAUCUACAGCUGAUGUCAACUAAGUUCCUAUCUCAAAUGGCUCAUGUUUUAGGAAAAUCGUUAAAACUUGUUGAUCUUGCAGACCAAAAAACAUGGGUUUUGGUUUGGAUGCUUAGAUGCAUCCAUUGGUUGAAAUAGAUGCUUUUCUAUUUGGUUUGAUGUACAUGAUUUCAUUCACACUUCUGUAUAAUACCUCAGGGUAUUUAUUCUGCUGACGUUGGGGUUGACGUUGGGGUUGACGUUGGUAACAUAUAAUCUUUCUGGUAGAAUAUUCUCCGUAUAUUUUCUCUCCAUAAAGCAAACAAAGUAAGCACAAAAUAUGCAGUUUCUAAUGAUAAAUAUCUUGUUAUUGAAUGGCUUCUCACUUUUGUUGGAUCAUUGCGUGAGUAGUGCUGACUUUGGCUAUGUUACAUUGUUAUUAUAUACUUUAAGCAGUGUGAAGAUUGUUUUUGGUCUUUUUGCCAGUGGUGUUAAGAAUGUACUAAACCAAAUUUUGUAUUUCGAAAGCAACAAGAAAAGAGAAAAGAAAAAGAGAAGGAAAAUCUAUCUACCUGAAACAAGUUGUAAGUUCCCCAAAAAAAUCUGCUAUAAAUUCAAACUUAUAAUAGUUAUAUUUAGGUAAACUUCAGUUUGCCUCCUUGUAGUUAAGCUCUUUUUUAUUUUACCAUCAGCCAACUCUUUUCCCUCCCACAUUCACGUUCCUCUCUCUCUCUCUGUUACUCAUCUCUCUCUUUCUCUCUCCUCCACCCUCCUCCCCUCUCUCCCUCUCUUAGCGGCUACAUCAGCUAAGCUCCGAAAUUGAAAGAAGCAAUGCGCAAGAGGAAGAGAAGAAUCGGAAAAAUGAAAGAACAUGAGACUGCGGAAGAGGUUCCAACUGAAAUUGGUAGGCCGCGAUGUAUUUUGCCUUGAAUUUCUUUGAAUUUGUAUGGUUCUUUCUUUUUCAUAUCUUUUCUUUACAUUUGUAUGUUUUCUAAGCGAAAAUGAUUCGAUUCUAUUUUUUCUUUCAUUAAAAAAAUUUAUUAGAGGUUGCAUUGAAUUUGGAGAAUCCGAAAACUAACAAAAGAAAACAGAAAAAGAGAAAGGAAACGGAAAAAGAGAAACGAGAGCCGGGAUGGUACACAAGGGCAACACAUGAUUCUGAAUUCACCUCAAGAAGGAGCAGCCAAUAUUAGUCGAAGCCUGUAAAACAUAUUCUUUACAGUAACACAUUUAGUUAAUCACACUAUAUAAUGAAUUGAUUGAAUCUUUAAUUGGGUAUUAUUACUCCAGCGUACCUAAGUGUCCUGUUCAAUUCCUAUUUGUGUUAUGCGACUAAGGUUGAAACCAAAACAUGAAGUCAAUAUAAUUACAUGAUAUUUAAAACAAAAGAAUUUAUCUUCGGUCAAAUCAAUUCCUAUAAAAUGGAAUAGCUUACCACAAUAAUUGUUGCAGCACAAUAAGUCAGCAACUAAUUCGUAGACAAAUGACAUAUAUAUAUCAAAUCAGAAUAUCUGUUCCUUAUUUUCGCAACUAAAGUAACGAGCCUUCAGUUCCGAGACUCGGGGCGAAUCGGACGGCUAGGUUUUCUUUUCUCGCGUAUAUCACGAGGUGAUGAGAACCCGGGCCACAAAACAACAAUGGGCCAGGCUGGGCCGGAGCAUCUGUUGUGUUGCGUAGCCUGUUCCAACGAGAGCACUGUUACUCCGACGGCCCAACGAGUUCCAUCCAAAAACAAUCGCCUCCUGCCCCUUUAUUAUGGUAGCUCCAAUCCCUAAUCCCUGCAGCCCCAGUCACCCUCCCACCAUGAAAAACCCCAAGGCAUCAUCAUCAGGGAAGGGCUCUUCCCAGAAGGCUCCCUCUUCCUUAGGCUCCGGCGCCGGCGGCGGCCCCUCCGCCGCCUCCGGCAACCGCAAAUCUCGGUGGGAGCCCAACGAUAAGCCGCCCUCCGACCGCCGCCCUUCAGGCUCCGAUUCCAAGCCCCUGAAGCCCAAGGACGAGCCCUCGGGCCCCUCAUCCGCCGCCGCCGCCGCCGCCGCCGCCGCAACACCCAAUCCCAAGGAGAAGCCGGCGGCGCCGACACCCGUCUCCGGCAACCUCCGGUCUCCCCACUCGGCGGGGCCCCCCUUCCACCUCCCCGACCCCGCCGCCGUCCCGCCGCCCCCGCCUCCGUACGGCUUCCACAACCUCGAGCGCCGCACCAUCGUGCUCGCCGACGGCAGCGUCCGCUCCUACUUCGCCCUCCCACCGGAUCCGCCGCCGGCCGCCGCCGCCGCCGCCGCCGCCGAUAAAAUGUUCCCCUACCGCCCCCCAAUUGCCCGCCCCGGCUUCGGCCACGGCCCGGAGCCAGGCGUGGGGUUAGGGUUCGACCGGCACUAUCCCCCGCCCCCUGGAGGGCGAUUCAGCCCCGAGGACCACCUGCGCGACCCGCGCUUCGGCCGUGGAUCCGGGCCGCAGAACGACUACUGGGCGUCUCUGGGGCUCGACGGCCCUCGGGGCCCUUCCGAGAGCGGGCCAUCCUCGCUGAAGAGGAAGUACGGGGAGGACGACGAGCUGGCGUGGAGCAGGAGGCACGUGCUGCUGUACGGGGGCGCCGGUGGAAACCCUCCCGGGCUCCCUCCCGGGGUGGGCGGGGAGCGAGAUGAUCUCAGGUCGUCGAAGCAUGCAAAGUUGGGCGCCGGAGGCUACGAGGGGUUGCCCUCGCGGAGCGCUCGGGUUGAUGAUGCGCCUGCAGUUCCCUUGGAUGUGGAUAAGCAGGCUUUGAAGAGGGCAUUCCUCAAGUUCUCGAAGACUAUCAAUGAAAGCUUCUCACAGAAGAAGAAUUAUUUGGAGAACGGCAAGAAUGAGCCUUUGAAGUGCAUUGCUUGUGGCAGGUUUGCUUACGUUUGGAAGUUUUCAUUUUAUUUAACUACCGCUAUCGCAAUGCAUGCUUGUUCCUUUUCUUUUUCUUAUCGAGAUUUUGUUGUGACUUGUUUACAUAACUCGGUCGUCUAUAUAACUCUCUUGAUAAACUGAUGCAGGAGUCCUGCUAUUCUAUUUGCGCCAGAGGUUUGCAGUUGUUCUCAUUCCGUGCUACGUAGAUUAGUUUCCUUGUUUCGUUGGUGCAUUUAAUCAUUAAGUUCAGCUACUAUAAGUCGUUCUGCAUAUUGAUGGCAUUUGAUAGUCCUUUUUCAUUAGAUUUGGUUAGUAUAUUCUUUUUUUCUUCCCAUCUUUGCUCUUUGCUUUUUUGUUCUGCUGUCCUCGAUUUUUUUUUUUUCUUCUUUGGCUGUUUGUUGUAUUUUUCCUUACAGCGCAAAUUCGCGCCGAUGGUACUAAUUUUCUCCGAUUUCUUUUAUUCUUGUGGGAUGAUUAUGUAAUCCUGUGGCCUUUUAAUGCGCAAAACCUUCACCUAUCUAAUAUCUUUUGUCUUUUCUGGUAAUAUUAAUUGUAUGCAAUAGUAAUUAUUUCCUGAUGAAGCAAAUGCUGCUUUACUUUUACUGCAUCUACUAUCUUUUGUCUCAUCUUUUGAUAAAACCUAUGACUCCUUCCUGUUGCGGAGGGAGUAAGGAGUUGAUAGUUCUUAUGGUUCCUUAGGUUUCUUUUGGUAUGCCAAGUGCAAUGGGGUUCCAAUGGGGUUCAUUGUUAAAGAUGACAUAUAUGAGAUUGCUUGGUAACAAAGAAGUUAUUGAGUUGGUUGGUGCAUGAUUUCUUGGUGUUUGGUUUAUAUGUAUGAUAGGUAAAUUAUUUCCUGUAGGUUAUUUUUAUUGCAGGAAGCAUGAUGUUGUUUGCAGUCCUCCUUAUAAUAAUUUGCCCUAAUCAUUGCAGGUCUAUCUUUAGAUAAAAUUCUUCCAUUUCUUGAAUCCAAUUGCCAUUAUUCCAUCCAAAUAAGUGUAACCAGAACAAGGUACUGUCAUUUUUGGAUGUUUAAACCAAGGAGCUAGCAGAAUUAAGAUGUUGGUAUGUAUGACAGCACCAUUGCAACAUAAAUAUUUCCCAUUUGUUAUGGGCACUUGCUUUGGUCCUUCACGGCCACUUUCCAUGGGCAUGGGCGGCACAACCUGAAUGUCUACAACAUAUACCAUGCUCGCAGACGCAUGGCUCCUCAAUACAUGCUUGUUUGUCUGUUGCUUUAUGUACAGUUACAAUCACUCCUUGAGUCAUUUGAGAUGAUUUUAGUCAUGGAGUGUAUUUAGUGCCUUUUGCUGAGGUGCAUUUUACAAAAUAUGGUUUCUUUCUCUUGGUUGCAGGACAUGAACAUUUCAGGUUAUAGUAGUUUAAUGAUAUUAUGGGUUUUAAAAGGGUUUCCCUUAACCCAGAAGGGUUGCACCAUAUGCUGAUCUCCUUAUUACAUACUUCUGCCCAUUUACUCUCUGCAAAUAGUCUUUGUGAAAAUUUUUGAUGAGAUGUGAUUUGGUUUGAUCGUGUCCCAUAAAUCUGGUAUUUUAUCAUUGCUAGAAGUCUUAUAAGUCUUGUUUGUUUCAGCAUUUGGAAACAUCCAGAUGUAUCUUGUAGUUAGAGCUAUAAAUACCUAUAUGAAUCAGAGAACUUGAUGCCUGUCUUCACUUUAAACAACUUUUGAAGUAAUAUGCUUGUAAGUAUUUUAUGACUUGUGAGAUGUGGUCGUUAAGAGAACUUCAUAUGUUUUGAAUUUUCAUUCUUGGGGUGCUGCAAAAUUGGCAUUUGGCAUGGUCCAAUAACGAUCCUUUUGACCAGUUAAGUGAAGCUUGCUGAGCUGUCAGGUAGGUUGCUAAAACUAAGUCAAUUGGUAGCUAACCAAAAGCAACUCCGUGGAAAGAGAAACACUUUGUAAAUCCAUUGUUAUUGCAACUGGAAAUUUGCAUAAAAUUUCUAGAUAGCCGGUAAUAGAUGAUUGUUCAUGGAUUUGGACAGGCUAUUGUUCUUUGAUGUUCAAGCGAUGUAAAAACAUCAGCCUUGCUGUAACUUUGCCUGUGUCACAUCUAAAUCAAGCAGCAUGGUUGUUAUCUAGAAAUCUAGAUGCUAGGUAUUAUUUUGUUAUCUACAAGUCUACUUCUAGAUUUGAAUCUUGAUGUCACCUUGCAGGUGCAGUGAAGCAUCCAAAUGUUUGUUAAUUAUUUACAUGCUGUUUUUGUAGUAGGUAAUAAUUAACUAACUGUCGUAAGGUGUUGGCUCCAGUUCCACAUGCCGAAGUUGGAGCUAUAUUGUAGUCGUAGAUCUAACAUUUGGAGUUACAUGAGUUUCAAUGGGGGGCUUUUUGGUUGAGUAGGAGGGGCGGUACCAACAUUGGAUGGGGCACUAGUUGACAUUGACGGCAGCCUCGGCACCUUUGGGGCAAUGGUCUCCUUAAUGGUCUUGGCAUAGCCUCCAAAAGCUCUAUCUUUUCCUCCGCGACUCCUCCCUUUCUUCCUUUAUGUGUGCACUUUGGGGAAUGUAGAGGGGCAUCGAUGAUGGCGGAAAGGCACCAGCCAGUUCCCUCUCUCUCUCUCUCUCUCUCUCUCUCUCUCCCUGUAUACAAACACACCCACAAACAUUUCUCUCUCCUUGUUGCUUUGGCAGAGGCUACAGUAGAGGAUAGCAGCUUCUCAUCUUAUUCAUAAGUCUCUCUCUCUUCUAUCCUUCUUCACUUUACCUUUGUUCUCUCAUUUCUCUUUUCAUUUCAUAUCUUCCCAAUGUUGUAGUUAAUUGUCACCAGGUAGCUGCUUCAACAGAAGCUGUAAAGCUAAUUAUGCCUACUUUUCUAUUGAUUGGUAUGUUAGACAAAUCCUCAAUAGGGGUGUUUCUACUAAAUAUAUUCAUUUUUCCUUUUGGAGUUUGCUAACUUUCUGUUGAGUGGUUAUUUGAUGUGAAUACCUUGUUCUCUCAUUUCUCUUUUCAUUUCAUAUCUUCCCAAUGUUGUAGUUAAUUGUCACCAGAUAGCUGCUUCUAUGGAAGCUGUAAAGCUAAUUAUGCCUGCUUUUCUAUUGAUUGGUAUGUUAGACAAACCCUCAAUAAGGGGGUUUCUACUUAAUAUAUUCUUUUUGCCUUUUGGAGUUUGCUAACUUUCUGUUGAGUGGUUUUUUGAUGUGAAUGUGGUAACAAUGACUUGUAAUUUUGAUUUGCUUUGAAAGCAAAUGGUGCUGACCAUCAAUAGUCAGCAAGUGGCUUUAUUGGCAAGUUUCUGAUUGUUCUGUGCUAUGCAUCUUUGACGAAAAUCUCAUUCUCAGCUAUUAAUUCUGCAUUGCAUUUCCAGUUUAUAUCUGUUGAGAGAGUGGACUUGCAUUCUUAUCUCCCCUCUUUAACGAAAUAGGUAUUUGCUCAGUUAAUACUUUGCUAUAUGACAGUACAAGCAGCUAAGUUCAGACUGAACUCCUUGGUUCAGCUAUAUGGAUCCUUUCCCUCCAUUUAAUUUCGUUUAGAGCAUGGUCUACUGUCAAAGUUGCGUGUUUCCCUAUUAUAAUUACCGACAUUUACUAGGUUUCCUAUAUUUAGCAAGUUUCAAUGUAUUGGUGUCAAACAAAUCAUAUGAAAGUGUUCCGUAUGUAAAAGUGAGCAAAUAUUUCUUUUUCUUUGUAGUGGUAGUUUGCAUGAUCUAGGCCCUUGCUUGUCUCUGUGCCCUUUUUGCCAUAAUAAUUAUUCACAUGGACACUUAUUCCUUAGCAGGAUGUCUUUGGUUUAGGAAGAAUUAAAUUCUUUCAUGCAAAUUCGAGCUGGCAGUUAUUCAACUUGCCAUACUUUGAGUUGUUGCUAAUCUUGAUAUGCAUAUAACAUGAUUUUUUUACUUUGUUUGUGUUCAAAGUUGUUCAAUGACUUGCAUUUUAUUUGCCUUUUCUCAUAUGCUUAUUUUUCAUUCCGGAGAAAGAAUAUAUCCCAGAUUCAAAGGCUAUCUUUUCCUUUGAUUUAACUACUGUGUAUGGAGCAAGGAUUGCUUGUGCCACCCUGUGCCAUACCAUGCCGAGGGCGUGCCAUAAUGUGGCACAGGGUCAUGCCAACACCGUAUUUGAAAUCUUUUUGAGUUUUUUUGAGGCAAAAUGUUUUAUAAAUGUUUUUUCAUACUUAAAAUAUGUAGAUCUUGUAAACCUACUUGCACUUGGAGCAAUUAGUAAGCUCCAUCGCAUAAUAAGACCAUUUUUAAGUUAAAAAAGAAAACAAAAUGAAUAGAUUUCCCCUUAUUUCCUUUAUCCUUUAGAUCUAUAAAUAAUGAUUUUGGUUUUGGUUUCAUGAUAUACUUUCUUAAUAUCGAUAAAAUAAUUCUAUUAGUUAUGAUGUUUAUGACUCUAUUUUUGUUAUAUACUGUGAGAUAUAAUAUAUAAACGAAUUCAGCUCCUAUGCUUUUAAAAGUACAAAGUCAUUGGUACUUGUAGGUUUCGGCCUUUGGAUUAAGAGAUGUGCAGUUAGGAUUAUAGUGGUCCCCUACGGUUGAGUGGGUGGUUGGUUGAAUAAUAUGAUCUAACAGGUAGAAAUGGUUAAAUCGGUAGAUCUAACGGCAGAAAACUUACAAGCACCAAGCGCUUUGUGCUUUUAAUAGCACCAUAGCCGGACUCUAUAUAAACUAUUUUUAUAAUCACUAGAUAUAUUAAAAUACUAUAAAAACUAAUUUUCCAUAAUAAUUUAAUAAAUAGAUUUCGCGCCAAUGCGUGCGAAAGUGUAAGUUGUGUGCCACUUGCACAAGGGGCAUGCGAACAUUGGCAUGCCCCUUGCCACUUGCCAUGCCUGCUAUGCCGUGUCGUGCUGUUGGCAUAGCGUCAUGGGUUAUGCUAGUGUCACAGCAAUUCUUGGUAUGAAGAAAUUUUGGGAGCCUGCUUGUAGAUUGCCAAUGGCACGGGCUGUGCUAGCGGCACGGCAAUCCCUGGUAUGGAGAAAUGUUGGGGGUUGCUUGUAGAUUACAUUGGCCUAAAAUAUACCCUGUCAGUUUGGUUACUGUACUCAUUAACCGGACUUAUCAACUUAAAGGCAAGCUUCUUCCCUAUUUUAAGUCUGCUAGGAUUUGGGUACAAAAUUUAGAGAGUUAAGGUCAGGGUAAUAGCUUGUGAAUUUUUCACUCUUCCCGGCUUUCUUUGCUAGCAUUGUACUUGCAACAUGUGAACUGGUGGAGUGUUUCUAUGAAAUCUUUCUAUCUUGUAGAACCCUUGAUUUGCAGCAAAGCUGCUUUUAGGAAUAUCAUUCUUAUGUGACAGAUGUUUGAUAUCCUUCAUUAGCUGAAAUGGGAGGUUGGCAAUUUUUUUUGGGUGAAAGCACCAGAUUUUAAUUUCUGUGAAUUGCCGUGUAUAUAUUUACAGUUUCCAGUACUUCAUAUCACAUUGUGUUAGGUCUUCAAUUGUAUGGCAACAUGAGUCAUUUAUUUCUGCCCUGACGCUUUAAAAAUGGACUAGAGAAGUGGAGGACCAUGACCUCUUUGUUCCUGUCAGUUUAGGGAAAUUACACAAUUGUUAGGCUAAUGUCUAUUUCUUGUUUAUAUGUUAUCCAUUGUUAUCCUUAUAUUGGUCGAUUAAAGAAUGUAGGCCAUUUCUCUUUGCCUCAAGUCUUUUAUCUUCUAUUGCAUUAAACUAGGAAUAUUUUUCUCUUUGUUAGUAGUUUAUGCAAAGUGUGUAGCUGCAUAACAGUGUCCUGUUUUACUGCUCCUUUUGUAGCAUGAUCUGAUCUUGUUCUAUUAUGUGUUUUCUAUGCAUGAUACAGGGCUUCUAAAGACUUUGCAGAUGUGCAUGCACUUAUCAUGCAUGCAUAUCACUCACAAAAUGCAGACAUGCGUGUUGAUCAUCUUGGAUUGCACAAGGCAUUGUGUGUUCUUAUGGGAUGGAACUAUGCGAAGGCCCCAGAAAAUUCUAAAGCAUAUCAAUUAUUAUCCCCAGAUGAUUCCCAGGCAAAUAGGGAAGACCUUAUUUUAUGGCCACCAAUUGUUAUCAUUCACAAUACCAACUUAGGGAGGAGAAAAGAUGGUCGCAUGGAGGGCAUGGGUAACAAAGAGAUGGAUAAUAAACUUAAAGGUAUGUGAUACAUCAUUUACGUUACUUUUUUAUACAGCAAACAAAAAUUUAUGUAUUAGGAUCAUUAUUGACAUGCCCUGUUAGUGUUCAAUCACUUGAUUUUAAUUAAUUGGUUGUCCUGCCAAUCGGGUUUGUUAUAUGCCUCACUUGGCUUCCUCUAGCAUUAAACAUGAUGGGGAAAUCAUUAGUGUUCCAAUUGUGUUACAAGUUUAAGGCGUGAUUAGUUAGCUCUAAUUCUUUUUGGACCUGUAAUUUGAUUUCUCUCUUUAAUUAUUAUCGUUUUGCUAUUGCAAUGUGCAUACAAGAUGAAUUAAUGCUUUCAGAUACUAUUUAUCUCCUGUAGUCAGCCCAAGCCUGCCCUGUUUAUUAACGGAUUGGCCUCUGGGUGCCUAUCUUUUUUUUUGGCAAUACUUUCCAUAGAAGUCCAUUUAUUUAGAAUGUGUUAUGGCCGGCACAUUUAGGGCUUGUUUGGAUGUCCGAACAGGUCAUCCAAUAAUAACUUCUGCACCAUGGUAUUUUCUUCUUGUCUUCGUUUUCUGCUACUUUGCUUUUGGUCCAUUGCUGGCUCCUGGCAGUCAUGAUUUUCCAGGAUAAUGCAUUCCACCUACGGAAUUUAUCUUAUCUAAAAAUAUUAACUUACAGACCACAUGUACCAUUGUAGACUCCUAAUAAUACCCCUCCCUCAUCUGCCGAUUACUGCAUUACCUUUGAAUAAUCAAAAGGGAUGUGCUGAACGAAAUGUUCUUUCGUUCAGAGAAUGCCAUUUGUAGGGCUUUGCCACCUGCAUGUAUUAUCUGUACUUGCAUAUGCUGUGAUCUUCUUUAUUACUUAUUUUGUUGAAUACUGGUCGAUUGUAUAGAGAGGACUUUAUUCUAGCACGAGCUAAAUGGGGGGAAAGGAUCCAUUUUGCGACAUCAAAUAGUUACGCUUUAUUUUUGUUCUGAAUGCUGUGACAUUAUUGUUCUCUUUUGAAUAUCCAUUAGUGGAUAUUGAUAGAAGUUUUUUGUAUUGUAUGUGAUGAUUAAGCGUCGCUGUUCACGACUAUUGAAUGAUGGGAUCACGCACCCGUGCAAUAUGAGGGGAAAUUUAAGAAUUUAAUGGCCUGAUUUCAGAUGUUUAGUCUAGAAUUGGUUUCUGUACAGAAUUUGGAUUCAUAUACGACUUGUGAGUUCGUUGUGAUCUCUCUUAUUUUUGAGAGAUGUGGAAAAGUGGUGAUGGGAUCGCCACAACUUAGAUAAUUUGGGUUAGUGAUGACGUCACGAACCUGUCGUGAUGUUUCUUAUGGUAUCUUAUGGUAGAGAAACCUGAUUGUUGCAAGACAAUUGAAAUAAUAUUAGAUGGUUUUACAUUUUACUUUGGAUGCUGACAUUUAGUUGGUUAAUCCAUGUUUCUGAUGGUGUAGAAUAAUUUCUUUAGCCAUGUUCUUAUUUAGUUGCUUUCUGGUAUAACUUUGUUGCUACUGAUAUCCUGAUUCGAAUUGCUUGGUAGUUUUCUUAAAGAUAAAUGAUGUUUUUGUGAGUUGAAUGUCUAAAUAGAGGUAAGUUGUGUUUCGUCUUUAAAAUGUGCAUCAAUACACUGUCAAUUAAGAGCAAUUCCCCGUGGUUUGGUUUGGUCAGAAGGGGGGGUGGGGUUUGGGUUUGUGGAAUCGCACUAUCCUCAUUGGCCACUUAUCUUCAUUACUUGUUCCUGCUAUCUCCAGCCUUACUGGCGUAAAACCUUGGAACCGGAGUUUCUAUUGGAGGCAUUUAACCCCUACCUUUGGGAUGGAAAUUUUCGAAACCAAAAACCAAGUAGCUAAGGAAAAGACGGAAAUUGCACCAGUUAUAAUAAAAGAGGGGAAACUGAAAUCAAACCUGGUUAGACUUGAUUAUAACUCAGUUAAACUUAUGUUAAGACCCUCAGAAUUGGAUCAUUCUAGUCCACAUUAUUUAAAUUUCAUCUCAAGUUGUCCUAGUUUCUCUUCUGUACUCAGGUAGGAACAUCAGCAAUCUAUAAGAAUAAAUUCUCAUCUUUCUAUGUUCCUAUGAACUUAUUUCUAGCAUGUUCUAUGUUUUGAGUUCCUUUUGUCACCUCAGGCUAGCUUUUAAGCUUUGUCUUAGGAAUUUCUAUAGCUCUGUUUCAUCCAACAGUUUGUCAUCAGUAUCAGUUAGAUUUUUCUUGUUUAUGGAGAAAGCAUUAUUUUCAGAUGUUUUACGCGACCGGUAGACAUUGCGGACCAAGUGGAGACAAGUUUCAUCUUGUACAAAUGGGCUAGUUGCUGUUUAUUUUCUGCAGUUAAUUUAGCCUCAGGAGUUGUCUAUUCAUCUUCAGAGAAGACACAGAAGUUACCAGUAGUAAACACAAUUGCUUUUGAAGCUAAAAUUUUGUAGUGCAAUAAUUUGCUUUCCCAAUACUAUGGAAAAUUAGCAUGGUCUUUUCAUGCUAGAUCUUGUUUAUUCUUGCCUAGUGGUAAAGAAGUGAGCAAGAUUGAAGCAUCUGGCAUACUGAUGUUUUUCUUUGAUAUGUAGCAAUGAAUCUCCUUGUUAGGAAAGGAUUAUUAAUAGUGAGAUCUACUACCGAGAAGGAAACUGGAAUAGUGUUGGCUGCAGUUAAUUGUAAUACGUGGACUAAUUCCACGUCAAAGUAGUUGUGUUCUUCAUUCCUUCUAUGUUUUUAUCUUUGUUUCCCAGAUCUAGGUUUUCCCGGUGGCAAAUCCAAGUCCCUGUAUGGGAAGGAAGGGCACCUGGGGGUGACACUGGUGAAAUUUGCUAACACUGAAGCUGGCUUAAAGGAGGCCGAGCGCCUCGCAGAAUACUUCGAGAAGGAAGGACAUGGCCGCAGAGGUUGGUCGCGCGCACAAGCUACUCUUCCUUCUGGCGAUGAUGAUAAGAAUCCAUUGCUGGUCAAGUUGAAUGAAAGGACUGGUGAGAAGAAGAGGAUCUUGUAUGGGUACCUAGCAACUGCAUCAGAUCUUGACAAAGUAGACUUUGAUAUGAAGAAAAGGGCUUCUGUCAAAAGCAAGAGGGAGUUUGACCUGUCCGAUUAGUGCCUUCAAUGAUACGUGUUUGGUGCUAAUAUAUUUUUUUUCCUAUUUACUUCAGACAUUAAACUUGCACCCUUGUGUUUCCUUUGGUGUGGCAGGAAUAGGGUUAAAUUAAGUUUUAAUCUACAUAUUUUGCCCAUAGGGGUACUCAAGUCUUACCUAGCAACGUAUUAAUUCUCUAUCGGUACUCUAGCUAUGGUUCAUCCCCCCCCACCCCCCCCUUUUUAUCUUUUUUGCCUUUUUUAUUUUUUAUUUUUCUCCAACGAGUAGUCAUGGUUCUUCAAAUAGUUAUAUGGUAGGAAACUACCUUUUAUGUGACUGACCAGAAUUGCUCUUUUUAGCUUAAAAAUGUUGGUGGUUGGAGAAUGACUGUUGGAGUGAUCUUUCCACUUGCUGAUGUCCCAUAGUUGUGAUGGGCCAGAUCAUCCUGCCAUCCGAUGCUAUCCUAUACCAUUGUCCUAAAUUAAUUGUGUCAUUUGUAAUCGAGCUUUGUUAACUCUCUGUUUGUCCUCGCCAUAUAAUGUUCCAACUUUGCGCGUUAUAAAGCAUCCUGUUUUCUGAGAGAGUUAGAAUUAAAAUAGUAUAACUGAAGCAGCGGGUGCCAUCUUUUUGUAGUGGUCUGUUUUAGUUGAACUAUCGUUUGUAAUCCUGAUCAUUGAUUGAAAUUCGAGUUGCAAAUCUGUUUUGUCACAUCUUUUCAUGAUGGUUUGUUUUAGUUGAACUAUCGUUGUGAUCCCGAUUGUUGUUUGAAAUUCAAGUUGCAAAUCUGCUUUGUCAGUUCCAAACUGUACUAGAAACGUUAUCAGAAUAGCGUGGGAAGAUGCCAACAUGGCGUAAACGGAAAUGCCUUUUUUAUAAUUAUAUAUAUAUAAUUUUUUAUUCUUCAGAUUCCAAGUUCGCAUUUGAAUAAUUCGUAACCCUCCAACCCUUUUAACUUUUGCAGGAGCUAUGCGAUAAUAAUUUUCUGCACUCCUUUGCCCUUUGUCUUAUGUGUGACUAAGCUCGGACUCUGGCGCAACUAAGACAACAGCUAGAUUUAGCUUUAGAUUUGGGGGCACUCAGGUAGCAAUGUUUUCUAGCUAAACCGCUCAGCAAAUAAAUAUUGAUAAAAAAAUAACAAGCAAUGCUCCACAUUCACCUACAGGAUAGGUGUGUGUAUAAUCCAUAAAAUUCCUAUGGUUUCAUAUUUUUCUGCUUGUUAUGUAAUUUUUUCUGAUUUUAUUAAAACCCAAGAAAAUUUUAUCUACCCUUAGAUUUUAGUGUGUAAAAUUUAAACUCUUUGACACUUGUAAUGAGGACGAGAGGUUGUACUUAUCAAAAACAAGAGGGUGAUCGAUGAGCUGUAGGAGGCUCAGUAGAUGAGCUGCGGAUACUUUAAUGAGUCAUAUGUUUUAUCUGUCUGUCUCGCUGAUGAAGCCACUGCCAAAAAUCAAUACCACUUCCUUGCGUGCAUCACUCAUUACAUUUACUUAGCUUUUUUAGGAAUCUCAAGUAAGCAUCUUUACUCAGUGGGAAAAGAAAAGAAAAGAAAAGAUCCCAUUGUAAGAAUCGCUAAACAUGCAUCUAAAGUGGGAUAUAUGUUGAACUGAGCGAGUAGCUAUCCGUCCGCUCCGUUGCUGAAUCGUUCUGCUGUAACUCGUGAGGACUGAUCUUUCACUUUCUCAACGAGUGCUCUUUUCUAUCUAUCUAUCCCUGAACGGGACUGGUAAUUCAAGUAGUGGUGGUCCUGUGCGAAUCCACUCUGACCUACUUUACCCACUUUGAUUUUAUCUUUCCCUGCGGCCGUGUUUCCACACUGCUUCCACUACAGAAGAAGAUCGAUGUGUUCCACUUCUCCAUUCCUAUCACCACCACUAAAGAGAUAGAGAUGUGUCCACUACUACUACUACUUGGGGCUGUUUGGUAUUCUUAAUGAGAGACACAACUAUAUUCUAUAUUGAGAGAUCUAGAGAUUUUCUUUUUUCAGUUUUUUAUGGGAUCAUCGAAUUUAUAUCUUAAUUAAAUUGGAGUGGUUUAAAUUGUAUGAACUGCUCGCUUACACACAUAUAUGAAGAUAUUUUCACUGAGGCAAUUAUUUUAUGUAAAUAUUUUAUUUGAUCAAAAUUCUAUUGGAUGACAUGUAUCCUUUUUUUUUGGCAAUCAUGUGCAUAUAUGUAUAAAAUUUUUCGGCAUAAAAAUAAUUUCACUGCUCGUUAACGGUUGGACGUGUUUGCACCAUGCACGCCAAAUGGCAUGUGUGCACCCAGACACGUCGUAGAGAGAACCCCAGCUAAGCUGGCGCACUGGUCCCAAAUGGCUCCCUGUUGGCAAAACGGAAAUGUCGACCUCGGUCAAAUCUUUGUGCCAUAUAGAUGAUAAAGAAUCUAAUCUAAGAAUAGCACAGUGAUUUUACAGUAAAAUAAUGCAUGUUUUAAAAUUUUUUAUUAAUUAUUAUACUUAUGUGCUAUGUACGUAGAAGAUUUUUUUAUCCAAUAUUAUUAUUCUUUGUGUGAGAAAUAACUGAAACAUAGAAAUUAACUUUCUCAUCCACGACGGGGGGACUAGCUACCUCCUCUCAGAAGUGGCUUUAGUUGCUCUCUAAUUACAAUGCCAUCCACGGUCGGAUUAUUAUUUAUUUAAUGAUACAUUUUAAGGCUUAACACUACGUACUCUGAGGUAACAUCUUAACUAAAUCCAAUGGUGGGCGCAACGAGAAAAGGCAAAUUAGAUAAAAAUAAAUAAAUAAAUAAGUUAAGGAAACAGAAAGAAAAAAAGAGAUGACCCAUUUCGAGUGUAUUAAAGAUGGCAAUAUGUAUUUACGUACUAACACAUUUAUUAAUUUAGUACAAAAAGGCACUGUCACAUAUAUCCGUCCGGCAAACAACGUCCAAAAAACCACUUUUGUGCCCUUUUCCUCACCGGUUACCGGCUUACCGCCGCGGCGGCGCAAAACAAGCCUACAUCGCUGCGAACCCUAACCGAGGCACUCCUCGGAGGCGGCGGCGGCGGGGGCGAGGCCGAGGAGGAGGUCGGCGAAGGCGCCGAUGAUGUACUUGUGGGUGCGCUUGCUGUUGAGGGCGAGGUAGCAGAGGAGGAGCUCGUGGAGGUGGGUGCGGCGCGCCGCCGCGUCGAGCCCCAGCGCCGCCACCAUCUCCUCCAUCGAGCGCCGGAAGUCCCCGUACGGAUCCGGCGAGUAGGUCGGCACCGCCACCCCCGUCCCGACCCCGACCACGGCCACGGCCGCCGAGUCCACGAUCGACUUCGACCGCCCGGGGGACGCCGGGAAGAAGCGGCGCGAGGCGAUCGCCGUGGAGAGGUCGCGCUCCGAGGGGGACGGCGACGGGGAAUGGGCGGGGGCCGGGCCCUCCUCGGCGGCGGCGGAGAGCGAGAGGGAGAGGGAGAGGGAGGACGAUGAUGAUGAUGAGGCCGCGGUGGCGGUGGCGGUGGCGGUGGCGGAGGAAAGCGUGGUCAGGGUUAGGGUUAGGGUUUCGGAGUCGGAGGAGGCGGUGGGGUCGUAGAGGGAGUUGAAGUUCUUGAAGACGACGGAGGCGGAGGAGGCGGAGGAGGCGGAGGCGGAGGUGGAAGGGGUGUAUUCGGAGUUGGGGAUUGGGGGAGGAGCAGAGUGGGAAGGGCGCUUCAGGCGAGAGAAGCAGUGAUGCAGUCCUUUCCCCAGCAUUGUAACUCUCAAACUCUCACUCCCCCCCCCCUUUUACAUAAAAUCUCUCCCUUCGUCUCCAGCGAAAGGGAGGGAGAGAUGAGGAGACUGUGUCGAAAGCGGACGAGGCCUAUAUUCUAUUUAUACUUGUUAAUUAUGUAGUAUUACGUACUUUACACGGAGAAAUGGUAAAGUUAAUAAUGAAUGACUAAAUAUAUUUUAUUUAUCAAUACUACUUCUUCAACUGAAUGCUAAUUAAUAAGAAUAUAUUAACAUUGAUUAAGUAGGUCUCCGUAAUUCAAACCCGACUCAAUAGAAUUGAGAAAGAAUAAAACAUAUUGCAUAAAAACUUUUUUCCCGUCUUUGAAAGGAUUUAUAAAAUAUUUUCUGAAAGGACCCUUUUUUUUUUUUUUUCUUUUCUCUUCAUUUGCAAAAUAUAUAAUUAAUUAGCUUUUAUUUUGCUUCCAACAAAGUUAACAUCUUGCAUUUCAAUAGAAAUUCUGUUUUUUCUAGCAAAUAAAAAUAAAGAUUAAUUAUAGCAACAAAUUAAAAGCCCGGAGGUCUGGUCUCGUCCUUGUUUCAGCCACGUGGUAGGCGAUCUAGAAAGAGUAGGACAACAUUGUAUUCCAAGACAAACAUACAAGCUCUCAUUACUAGUCCUAUACAGAAGGCAUUCGCCUACAGCUCUUGCAUUCUUUAAUUAGGACAAGUACUGUUACUAAGUAGCCGGUGGAGUCCUCGUUAUAACUAGCUCUUACUUUUCCAUUUCUUACUCCUUUAAUCCGUUCUUUUCUUUUUCACUCUUACUUAUAUAUACUUUGAUUGUUUUCUUUUUUUUUUUCCUCUGAAACGCUUGUGUCUAUAAUUUUGUAACUAAAUUAAUUUUUUUUAAUAAAUAAAGCGAAUAAUUUGCUAUAUAUAUAUAUUUUUUUUUAAAAAAAUAAUAAUAGAUAUCGAUCAAACACAGUAUGUGUAAAGUGUUUUUGUCAAGUGGCAAUUAAUCGUCAGAGAGAGGGACGGCGAGGGACUACGUAUCCACACAAGCUUACCCGGCCGGCGGCGGCCGUCGAUGGAUUAACUGGUGCAAGCACUAUUGCAAGGACAGAUCUCGCCGUCCGCAUUCAAUGCCGACGUAAAACGUAAUGUACUGCCGUCGAUGGUGGUACCGCCGGCCCGUGGAUCGCGUCUGCAAGGAAUAAGACGGACGGCGGGUGAUGCAUUGAGGUCGGCGAAUGAACGGUGGAUACGAAUCCGCCACGGAGACGGGCCGUGUCUUAAUGCCUGAUUGUCCUUGGAAAUAAAGAGGCUCACGAGGAUGUGUCGCCUCUUUUUUGCAUGAAUCUGGCACGCUCGCCCCAGCACUAUCUGCUGCGCACUGCAGGUCUAAAGGCUCAUGAGUUUGUUUCUGUAACUACUAAAAUUAACCUGGAUGUAUGGACAAUUAGCUAGGUAGAUUACACCAUUACCAAAGUUUUAUUUUGUUCGGCAUUUGUCGUCGUUAUUCUUAUAUGUAACCUUUGCGAGUAGUAUUAUUGCCUCUGUUGGAGUACAUUAUCACGUUACGAAUGUACGUAGUUGAUUUUUACAUCUUACUGAAAACAUUAAUGUGGAGGCCGGGCCAUGCAAUAAUGAAGCAAUACUACAACCCAGCAGCUAACUGUGUGAGUGUCGGACACCUUAAAUCAGAUGACCCGUGUUAAUUAAUCGGGAUCCACACAAUUAGUGUGUAUCAGUAGCCAUGUACAUUAAUUUUAUAGUUAUGUAGGUCUACCAUUGCUUUCAUUGAGCCUCUUAAUUAAUUAUUAACUCAUCCAUGAUAAAAUCAAACUAGCGCCUUGUAAAUUAAAGCAUGCAUAUAUAUGUACGCUUUCAAACUGUUAAAUCAUUUAUCAGACUCGGGAAGAUCCCCGAAGUCGCUUAAUUUGCAAGUUAGCAUCAAAUUGAGAUCGAAACUCGCAAAUAGGUAUAAAAUGGCAUUUAUGAAGCCAACUCACAUUCAGGAUAGGGACUAGACCAUAUGAGAUUGGCAUAUUAUUAGUUGCUUAAUUAAAAGGGAGUUGCACGUGGCACAUCACAUUAAAUCCGAACAAACCUGCAUCGUGGCUCAACUGGGCUAGCCAUGUAAUGUGCCUAAAAUCCAGAAAAAUUAAACGAGAAUAUAUUACCAAUGAAAUAAAAUAAAGCCGCCUAAUUAAUUUGCUAAUUUUUUCAAUAUUAUUGAUCAUUUUAAUCUUUCUAUGGACAUCACAAUUAAUGCUGUAAUUAUCUUUCUCAAAUGUUCUCUACUCUUAACUUGAUCUCUAUGCUAAGCUAUGCUAAACCAGCUACCAGUUGGCGUGGUGCUUUAAUUUGUAUACAUACGUACUAGCCGGUCGUUCAUAACUACUCUAAGCAGUACGUAUUCACAAGAAAUUAUAUAAUGGAGAUUUAAUUUUCCAUUAACAUUUGUAAUUAGAAACUUGGAAAUAAAAUUAACUGAAACAGAUCUAUGAGGUACUAUAUGGAACCGGUGGUUAAGAUCCUGGCAAAGGAGUGGGCUGAUUUUUGUAUAGCCGGGUGACGUAUGCAUUUACUACACUCUUUAUUUUGACGUUUGUUUUUGUUUCUAUUUUGAUUUUUUUUUAGUUCUUUUUUCCUUUGAUUUUUCAUCUUUUUCAGACCUUAGCUGUCUCACUCUAUAUAGCUAAAUUUAUUUACCUAAUGAAUGAAGCUGAUAACGUGCUAUCUUUCUCUCUAAAAAAAAAAAAAAUCCUCAUUACCACUAAUUACUGUUAGAUGUAUGCCCUAGAAGCCAACCAGGCCGACACAUAUAUUCUUUCUAGGACAUAAAUUUGUAUUUGACUUUAAAAUAUUAUGAAUAAAUUUGGGUUAUUAUUUUCAUUCAUGUUGUGUAUGUGUCCAUGAAUCGUCCAAGAAAUUAAUAAGAUGAUGACAUAUAUUCUCAAGAGUUGAGAAUUUGAGACAUGUGUCAUUGGUGNAUCAUCAAAUUGAGGCAAGGAUUUAUCCGCGAAAAAGGUAAUGAUUCGAUCUUACUUUUCUCCUUUAAUCUUAAAGAACAUGAGGGAUCCUAAUUGUGUGGUUUUGAGAUUUGAUCUCGAGAGUUUUUCAAAAAUCAAAUUUGUUUGAUUUCUUUUUCCGCUGCGUUUUUACCGUACGUAAUUUUCUAACAAUUACAUGAAUCAGUCAAAUUCUUUUCUGACCAUCGUAUACACAAAUACAUAUAUACCACUUUUCUCCAAUCGUGGAAAAUAUAGAAUUUUUACAAAUUGAAAUAUUAAUUUAUAUUUGAUGCUUGGAAUUAGAAGGCCAUUUGAACAUGCUGCUGCAGUAAAAAAAUCAUAUUUUUUUAUUUGUCUGAUAGCACGGUUGCUUUUUUCGAAAAUGACAAAUUGUCCCCGCAGCGAGAUAAAACAGUCAUGCAUGCAUGCACCAUAUAUAGAUUGUAUACAUAUAGCUCACUGUAACACCCCGCGAUUACAUACAUAUUAUAUAAUUAAACCUAACAAAACUCGCAAAGCCACGCAUUCAUCAACCAUUAAGCGAGUGAAUAUUCUUCAUUAAUCAUGUCCUUAGUGACACACAGUGAUCGAUUAAUUGUCUAUACCUAUCUCCAUAGAAAGUUACACCUAAAUUAUCAUUAAUUAACAACUCCCACGUACAUAAAACGCAUAAGUUGGGCCAGGAAAAUCAUCACGCGAAGAACCCAAAUCGGACAAGAUCCUGGAUUCCCGGUUGUCUCCAUCUAUAAUUCCAUGCAUCAAUUUCUCAUUUUUGCAAAUUAUGCGUUACUGCAAGGAGAGAUUCGCCCAGUUUGGCUUCACGUGCUCGAUCCCCUCAUCAUUUACAUUUACAGAUGUUGGGUUGAUAAACAAAAAUCUCGACAGGGACAAAUGGCUCCGUGCUUGCCAACUGGUGGCCUAAUUGAUCAGCUUCUCGACAAAGCAGAAGUUCUAUUUUGGAUUAACCAUGGAGUUUGAUCUAACAAAUUAAGGCCUAUAAAAUAAGUUUCUGAAUCUUAAAUAUAACGCUCGCACUUUGAAACACCUGACAGAGUGAAGCGACUUUAAAGAAGCUAGGAACGUAGACUUAAGAAUUAAUUUAGUGACUUAAUUUGUAAAUAAUUAAGAAAUCAACACAAGUAGCAUUUUCACAAAAUUCAUCUACAUAAUAAGAAACGAUCGAGGAAGACGGUAUUUCCAAUGAGAGCAUAAAAAGGCGACAAAAUUUCCAAAAUUAGCGUAGUUCCGAUCGAAGACUCCCAAAUAGGUCUCUCCUGCAGCCUACUUGUCCGGGGGCGCCAAAUGAAGGCCAAAGUGAACCUUUGUCACUUUCUCAAAUGUGACAGGGCGAGGCAGUUUUGAUCACUGUAUUAAUUUGAGUCCGUUUGACAGACCCAACAGUCCAACUGCGCGUAUUCCUGCACCAAACUGUUGAAAUUAAAGCAACUGCGCGUAUUCCUGCACCAAACUGUUGAAAUUAAAGACUUAUGGGGCUCGAAGAAUACCCUUCUUGCCCACUCAUUAAAAUGUACUUAUUAUUGCAAUUUAAGAGGUAGGAGAAAGUGAAAGUGUCUUGUUAAUUAAAGAAGGUUAGGUUAGCCUCACAUAUUGGAUAUAAAAUAGAGUCAUGUUCUCAAUGCACAGUGAUAAGCUUUCGGGUUGGACCCGAACGUACCCUCUUAACAUUUUAUACACAGAAGAAACUGAAACAAGAGGGAAAUAGUACUGGAAAAUAUAUAUAUAUAUAUAUAUAUAUAUAUAUAUAUAUAUAUAUAUAUGUAUAAAAUUGAGCUCCUAUGCUUUUAAAAGUAUCAAAUCAUCUGUGCUUAUAAGUUUUUGACCUUUGGAUUAAGAGAUGUGCAAUUAGGAUGAUGUGGACCCCCUAGAGUUGAGUUAGUGGUUGGUUAAAUAAUAUAAUUUAACGGAUAAAAAUGAUCAAAAACGUAGAUCUAAUGGUAGAAAAUUUACAAGCACCAAGUGCUUGGUGCUUUUACAAGCACCAUAGCCGGACUAUAUAUAUAUAUAUAGAGAGAGAGAGAGAGAGAGAGAGUCCGGCUACUAUACUAUCAGUAGCACGGAGGGCUCCGUGCUUUUCGAUGAUGCGGCUUUCAAAUCGACAAUCGGCUCUGUUAGACUUGAUCUACACUAUUAAAAAUAUUUGGAAACUAAAUUUCAGCAUUUUUCUACAUCAUUUGACUAGUGAUCAAAAGAUCUCAAAAUUGACAAUUUUAAUGGCCGAUGUGGUGUGUUUGUGAGUUUAACGGUGUAAAACAAUCCAAAUCCGAUGAAAAUUUUAUAGAAAAUUCUUUUCACUAUUUAAAGUAAGAUCAGUAUAUCUGAUCUUGAAUUUAAAUCAUUUAUCAUCAUUUUUUAUGAGAUUUUUAUUUUCUGCCGCUCAAUUUUAGACUACUUAUUUGAUAGGUAAAUGAUAUCGAAAAAUUAUGAAAUUUAGUUUCUAAAUACUUUUAAUAGUGUAGAUCAAGUCUAACAGAGCCGAUUGUCGAUUUGGAAGCCGCAUCAUCGAAAACAACUUGGUAGCACGGAGCGCUCCGUGCUACUGAUAGUAUAGUAGCCUAGUUCUCUCUCUCUCUCUCUAUAUAUAUAUACUCCGUGCUACCGAUAGUAUAGUAGCCUAGUUCUCUCUCUCUCUCUCUAUAUAUAUAGAGAGUGGGCUGGUAUGCUUCUGGAAGCACGGAGCCCUCCGUGCUUCCAAGUUGUUUUCGAUGUUGGGACUUUCGAAUCGACGAUCGGCUCCGUUAGAGUUGAUCUACAGUAUUUGAAGUGCCUAGAAAAUAAAUUUUGUGAUUUUUUAAUAUCAUUUGCCUAGUGAUCGAAGGGGGUCAAAAUCAAUAAAUACACCAGAAAUUGUCACUCACUUAGCAUAUGUAGAAAAGCAAAUUACACAUACAUGAUACAUCUUAUAAAUUGCUUCGUUUCAUGGUAAUAUAAUAAUAUAUGCUUGUAGUUCUAGAGGGUACUGUAAGAUACAUUUUCCAAAACUACAUAACAGAGCAUAAACAUGAGUGCUCAUUAUGGUGUGGGGCUCCAUGAAGCAUCUCAAAAGAGGACAGGGGAGAUGGGCAUGUGCCAAAUGGGGGAUUUAGAUAAGAAUUAAGGGGUUGGCUUAGUGUGGAGUGUUCAUUGUUCAAUGGUAUUGGAAUCAAUAAUAAUAAAAAUAAAAUAAUAAUAAUAGUAACGGUUCCCUACUCAUUUCUCAUGUUUCUGAGCAGUGUCUGAGGUGAGGACGUAAAGUACAGAGCUGAGUAAACUGUGCUCCUGCAGAGUUUUGCCGUCCCACUAUUCCGUGCAGAGUUUUUUUUUUAUUUUUUUUUUUCAGAACAGUUAUUAAUUUCACGAACUAGUUUGUUACUUUGUUUGGUGCAGUGUCUAAAAUAGUGGGUGCAGUGUCUAAAAUAGUGCGGCCUUAACCGGCCGGUUCAAAAAUGUGCAAUUGAGUUAGGUCCAACUCGUCCCCCACAGGCGUGAGCCAGAUGGGGAAGUGAACUUCACGGUCAAGGCCCAUUAAGUAAAGCCGGAUAAAAGAGAUUCAAUUUUAUGGAUUCGAUGAGAAGAUGAAACAUUGAAUAAAUCACGCUUAACUCAGGCUAAAAUAUAAGUUUCAUAAUUUUAUUAGAUUUUUCUCAAAAUAAAAGUAUUGAAAUAGAUUUCUAUUUGCUCUUUUCCCACCACGACUUCUUUUCUCUUUAGACUAGGUUAGCUCAUGUCGAGAAAUGCUUUAUUAGUCUACAAGCUAUGAAAAUGUUGUAAUUUUCCGUGUAGGAAAAUGUGCACGAAGCAGGCACAAACUCAUUAGUUUGUCAACUAGAACCAGAGAGACUUUUACCUUUGCCUGAUACAAAAAAGAGAAACCAAUUAACUUUGAAACUCAACAUCGAUCAAAAAACUGCGGAGUCCGAUACUAACACUACUAUGACCAUGACCUACUAGCAUGCCAAAUUAAAGGAACAGAAGAAGGCCAACAACACAACUCACGUAGACUUAGGAGACGCUCGCUAGUAUGUUAUAUCAUGGUAUAGCUUGAGGCCAUAUCCGGCUUGUUGCGAACCUCCGCUCCCGACACCUGCAGCGUCGUCCCUCUCCGCCGGCUUGUUUGCUAGCAGCUUCGUCGUCGCUUCCUGCUCCUCCAUCAAUAAUUUACAGUAGUAAAUGAUUUUUCUAAAUAAUAGUAACAUACAACGAAUUAAUGCUCGAGGAUCGAUCACUCAGAUCCCGACAACUGUAACUAGCUAACUCUUAAAUUGCAGCGUAAAAAAAAAAAAAAAAAAAAAAAACGGAAACAAAAAUAAAAGAGUUAAAUGAGUAGGUGGUAGGCACACCGAGAGGACGUCGCGGAGCUUGGUCUUGUCGUCGUCGCGGGUCAUCCAGGCGUUGGCAUUCGCGGCUGCCUGAGCCUGCGCGGCAAUACUGCCGGGCAUCAUCACGUUCAUUCCAGUGGCCCGCGCCUCGCGCUGCUUGAAUCGCAGCUGCGUCGCUCUGCUCCACCGGCUUGUCCCCUGCAGUCAGUACGGCCGCCUCCGAAUGUUAUCUUGGCCCCCUCCGGCACCCCUCCCGGGUUUUCCCAGCUCACGUACUGCCCCACCGCCUGUUAAUUAUAUUUCAAAAAAAAAAAGAAAAGAAAAAUCACUACUCGUUCGGAAUAUUGCAUGCGCGUCCCAUGAAUUACUAUACAAUUCUUCUCUUAAUUAAUUAAAGAGAGCUAGAGCACGGUACGUGUUUUCAAUGAUCUACCUGUCCGGCGACGAAUUCGGUGACGAUACGGCCGCCGGGCACGCGGGUUUCGGCCACGGUGGUGGCGGGGGAUAUCGCUGGCCCGGUCGUGGGCGACGAUGCCGGCGCGCUCGUUGCGCGCGGCGGCCGACUGCAUGACGGCAGCGGGGCCGCCCUUCCGGGUGUGGCCCAGCACGGCGUUCUCGGCCGUCUGCAUCAGGGCCGCGUCCUGCGGGGCGAUGGGCUGGGCCGCCAGAUCGCCGGCGAGACUUAAUGCGCUGUCCUUGCUCGCUCGAUCCCCCGGGCCUCAUGGCCUGUUGCUGGCUCAUUCUUGUUGUUUUAUUCGAGACGUAAUUAUAUAGGAGCGCGAAAUUAAUCUGUAGGGCAAGAAUUAAUAGGGAUCCCUACUUCGUUAUAGUGAUGCGGAGUGUAGUUGUGGUAUGUUAUCAGGUGAUAUGAAUUAAUGUCGAUCGCUUUAUUAAUUUACUUGUUAUUACUGGAGAGAAGAUCUAGGGCGCUCCCUCGACUCUCACUCUCUCUCUCUCUCUCUCUCUCUCUCUCUCUCUAUCUAUGUAGUAUGUAUGGUGUUAGAGAUGAUUAGAUGAGCGUGGUUGGGACAGCUCGGCGGGGAGGUGACACGUGGGAGGGUCCAUGGAGGGACACGUGCUGAGCAGGUGGGGCUCGUGGGGCGACCCAGAGAUAUAGUCGGACGCCUUGGAUAUGUAUGCAUAAUCAAGAUGAUGAUCAGCCGCAUCAUCUCCGAAACGAACCGACUUAAUUAGAGCUAAUGUGCGCGUGCAGAACCAUACACUUCAGAAUUGAGAGAGGAAUUUCUCUCUGGCAGUGCCUGCCGCGUCAAAGGCAGCAAUUACAUGUCAUAGCUCUAGCAAGCAGCUUUUCGUAUAAAACGCUCUUAAUUACUAAUUAAGGUUUUACAUUUUCCGUCUUAAUUAAUUAAUUAAUUAAUUAAACAGCUGAAGAAAAUUAGUUGCCAAUUUUAGUUUAGAGUUGGGAGUAUCCCUCAAAGAACUAGGGGCAGUUUCAGAAGACGCAUAAUAGCUUCUGUGGCAUUUUUGCUCUCGAGGCCUCACGCCCGUUUAAGAUUUGUCUCCAUAGCAAAGCCCUCGAUAUUUUUAUAUACUAUUCAGUCUUAUCGUUGCUGUAAAGGAAUAAUACUAUUCAGACAAUCUAAACUAGAUAUAAAGUUUAAAUUUUUUUCAUCAAAUUUUUUUAUUUUUUCACACACUAAUCUUAUUAACUUUUUUUUACUAUUAAAAAUUAAAUAAAUGUGUCCAAAUUUAAAACGAGAGAAUGCAAGAUUUUCAACAAAUUUUUUAGAUGUCCAGGCAGCAUAUCUCUUCCAAAAAAAGAAAAAGAAAAAAAAAACUCCAAAACAAUUAAGCAUGCAAAACGUAGAGAUCCAAUCCAACUGAAGUAAAAAAAAAAAANAAAAAAAAAAAAAAAAAAAAAAAAAAACCUCCUUAAUCGGAAAUCUCAAUAUUAUCAAAAUAUGAAUUCGCUGACGUCGUACAUAAGGGCGAGGCAAAAGUGAAGCCCCGCAACUCAUCACGUAGCCAUACAACACAGUCGAUCCUUCAAGCUCUCUCAGUCUCUAUCUCUCUCUCCCUCCCUCCCUCCCUCUCUGAUCUCUGAUCUCUCUCUUUCUCUCUCACCUGCGCUUGCUCGUGGGGCGCUCGCUGUGGGGCUCCCGCUCCCUCGAACCCCUGGAGUGGCGCCCCUCGUCCAUCAGUUCCCAGGAAUCCGCCUCCCUCCUCGAGGGGCGCCGCUUGAAAUGGUACUCCUCCUCGCUCGACUCGUGCUCGUAACCCCUUCUCGCAGCAGCAGCAGCAGCAGGGGAAGGGGCGGCAGCUGCGGACGAUCGGUACGAAUCAGAGGCGGUCCGGUUCUCCCCCGGUUCGCGGUCCUCCUUGAUCACUAGGCCGUUCUUCUUGGGCGGGGGAGGGAGCUCCGAGGAGGACCUCCGCUUCUUCCUGCUCGGCCCACCCCCGCCGUCGGAUUCCGGGUUGGAGCCGGGGAAGCUGAUACGGGAGAAGACGCUGCCCUUCUGCUUCCGGUCCAGUUUAGCCAGUUCGGCGGCGGAAGGGGGAUGGGGAUGGGGAGGAGGAGGAGGAGGAGGCUCGUCGUGGUCCAAGGCCGCCCUCUUCUUCCCGGUCCGUUGCGGGGAGUGACGGGUCGAGGAUGCCCGCGCCGGCGCGCCGUAGUGGCGAUCCUGGCUAGGUUCCCUCUCCGACCGCUCCGCCCGGUCCAAAGCUGAAGCUGCAGCGCCACUCGAUUGGGCCGCCGAUCUCUGCGGUCAAACUUUGUUAGCCCGUGAUUUCAAACAGCAAAAAAAAUACCCUAUACAUUCUUUCUAUAUAUAUAUAUAUAUAUAUAUAUAUAUAUAUACCACAUGUUCGUUUGCCCACUUGGUAUGGUCCAAAUAUCACUCACCUUGGUCGAAAGUGUACGCAUUGACUGCAUCACAGAUUUACAGUUUUGGAGUAUCAAAAAUAUAGAUGCUUUCGCUUAAUGCGGGAGCAAAAGCAAAAGCAAAGGCGCACAAUUCACGGGCUGCCCAUGGAAUGGACAGAUGCGCCAAGCCAGCGAAACCCCACAAAUUGCGGUUGAGAGCAACCCACAGCCCACAGGCUAGAAUCACCCGAUUAAAAAUACAAUAAUCAGCACCGCCAGCGAAAUGGGCGAUAGUAAGAGUGCAAACAAAUUUUAAAUAAGAUUAUUUAUGUCAUCCCGAGUCAAUAGAGUGUUGACCCCCGCCCGCAUAAAAACGGAUUACGAAUAGCCACCUACAAAAUAUACUAUUAAAAACAGAUUGCAUCUUCCACACAUAAAACCCUUCACCCUCCAGAAUUCACAGCCCCAAUUUUAAAAUCGGACAGAAUCUUCCAACCAACCCAAAAAAAUAAAGAAAAAAAAAACAAAAACCAAAAACCAAAAAAUAAACAAUAGAAGAGGAAAAAAGAAGUAAAAGAUAGAAGCACGGCCUACGCAUCUGCGCAACGUUGGUCGCUUCUCCAGGCCCUGCUUCAACUUUUGACCAGCACGGCCCAACAUGGAGUUGUUAGUUUUUUUUUUUUUUCCCCGCCUUCCAGCAGUGUAGCCGUCAAAAGCAAAGGCAUUGCAACCCAUCCACAAACUUCUCCGACAAUAAUAAGAACAAAAAAAAUUUAUAAAAGCUAAAAUGCAGAAAACUCUCACAUUUUUCAUGACGCACCUUUUUCUGAUUGUGGUACUAGUGUUCCAUCUAGACAUAUACAACACCGCUCUCUAAAUACCCAUUAAUAUCUCCCUCUUAUGGCUUGGAAGGCAAAGGUUUUUGCUUUCCUCAUCCCACCAAGCUUAGGAUCACAUCUCCUAACGACAAACAAAGAAUUCUAACCACUUCACUAGAACAAUGUACUGACCCCAACUCACCAUCUGAUGCGUAGUCAAACUAUAGACAUUGAUGCACCAUAUUCUUACAGCAGUCUGAUGAGAGGAACCGAGUACCCAAAUAAUGACGGUGUUAAACAGAGAUAUUAAAUAUCAGAGAUAGUCACAAUACUAUCUAGAGGAUUUCUGCAUUUUAGCCAUAAAUAGAACUUGAACUUUAUGAAACAAAACCAAUCAAGAAAUUGCUCCUCCUGAUUGAGAGCAUGCAGCACCUGCAUACUAAAACCUAGAAGCCCACCCCUAGAAGCCCACCCCGUGAUAAAAUCCAAAACAGAUCAAAAUCGUAACGUCCGACUUCGUUCGUUGAUUUGUGGAAAAGAAAUUCAUCAUGCGCUCUCCCAACAAAUAAGGGGAAAAAGAUGCAUUUUUUCCCACCUUCUCGAGAUAACUCUAAUGCUGCUUUAACGAUGAAACAAAUAGUACAAAAUUGAACAAGCAAAUGGGUUAGCAUAAAAGAACAUACAGGCUUCGACUUCACCGAUGUAACUUCAUUAACACCACCUCCUGCUUCCCUUGUUUCCCUUCUGACCUCCCUGUCCCUUGAAUGCUCACUCUCCCUGCAACAAAUAUAUAUAUUUUUUUAUAUUCUCAUUUUCUACCAGCUAUAUAAAAGCAUGGGCUGCCACCCAAAAAAAAAAAAAAGAGGAGAUAUUGGAAAAGAUAGGACAGUAGGCUAGUAUAAAAAAUAUAAAUUAAAUCCAGUGUUUAAGAAUCUAAAAAUUAAAUCCAGUGUUUAAAAAUCCAUGACAUGGAGACGUGUCAUGGAAAAGGUAAGUAUCAUAUCGCAAAUUAUGGUGAGGUUAUAGUAGUACAGUGGCACAAUGUGUUAAAAAAAAAAGGAGGGGGGGCCCAAAAGAGGGGGGGAAAACUAGAGCAAGAAAACUGAGCACCUACUUUCAACAUUGGAACAGCAUAAAUGAAUAAAUUUAUAUUUCAAUUCCCAAUAGGUGAGAUAACUACUCCCAUAACAACAAACUUGGGCUAAUGUAAGUCCUUAACGAAAUGCGACAAGUAACAGUGACCCGAGGAAAGAAAAAAAAAAAGAAAAAAAGUAGAAUAGACAUAAGUUGCAAAAUAAAUAUUGACGCGUAAUCAUACUAACUUGCCAAUGUAUAAAACUAUCUCAAAGUAAAUGAAGAAUGCAAGGGUCUAAAUAGCCAUAAAACUGUAUAAGAACCAUAAAUUAGGUAAGAAUAACGGCUAGAAUUUAAAUACAGAUAUUGCAUUAUUCUUGUUGUACUAAGGAGGAAAUGGAGAGUAUGUUUACCUUUCACUCAGUCGCUCAAAUUCACGCUUUCUCCUUAAAUCAGCUCUCCUGGCCUCCAUCUCUUCUCGUCGCAUAACAGGAGGCCCCAUAUUCAUGGCCAUGCUGCCAAUAGCCAACUCUGAUAGGUCCCUGAAGAAAAUAACUUCAAUCUACUUAAUCAUCCGUUGAAAGGGAAAAUGCAUAAAAAUUUCUCAAUGAACUUGAAAAAAAAAAGAGCAGAGAACGGAAAUGAACGUUACAGGUGAAAGAAAAAAAACAUCUUGGAUCAUGCAAAAGAAUGGUAAGAGUAAAGACACGGGAGAUGUACUAUAUCCAGAAGAAAAACCAUAUUCCAUGAUAAUGAAGUGAAAAUGCCAGCCUACUGUUUUCUUUUUUAAGCUUCUGGUUAACUUCCAAGGUUUCAUAAGGACAAGCACAACACAAUACCUUGGUACAGCAGGCAUCAUAUAACCCGGUGCAACAAAUGGAUCCUGUGGGAGGAUUGCCCCACCAAAAGGAACAUCAAAAGGGCCAGGUGCAUAACCCAUAAAGGGCAUGGCACCAGCCAAAGGUGCCGCCAUGUAUGGGUCCAUUCCCAUGGGCAUCCCGCCAGCCCAAUAUGGAUUGUAGCUCGAAGCAGCCAAAGGCAUCCCGCCAAAAUUUUCAACUCCCAUAUCUUGAUAAUUUCUCCAUUGCACAUCAACAGCUGCGGAUGAGGGAGAAAAUAAGAGCGAAAUAAACAAGAAUAAACUACUUUGAUGCUUGAUUAGUAUAAAUAUAUAAUACAAUCAACCAACUUGUACCAACUAAUAUAUAUAAGUGAUUAGAAAAGUUAUCUUCACGGAACGUGGAGUGAGGCACUUACCACUGCCAGGCAGGCGUGCCUUUUUCUUCUUCUUUUUCUUUCCUGAUAGACAAAGCGAGUAAGUAUGGCCAUGAGAGAAACAGUAGACAAACAAAUAAAGAUGAUAUUAUUUUGAAAAACAUAAGACCGAAUUAACUGGAAAUUUUUUUGCAAUUACAGAAAGCAGUAUCCUCAAAUCAAGUUAGUUGUCCAAAUGCCGAUACUACGCCCAACUGCUAUUCCAAUAUUUCAUCAGAAGGGUCCGUCAAAGUAAUUAAUUUUCAAAGGAGCUUGGAUAAUUUGUUCUUCAAAUUGCAGAAUUCAUGUCAUUUGCACCUUCAAUUCGUCGGAUUUCUUCACGGAUACAAUGUAAUCCAUUUUCAUAAAGUAUUCAGCUGCACUUCAAUAUGAAAGUGCUUUCCACUAACAACACUCCAAAGUCUUAAGAGAAACUGUAGCUUAGUAAGGAAAUACUCAACAAAACCUAAAAGUUCAAUAGAAAACCCUUUUUUGGCCCAUAAUUUACCAUGUUCGGGACAAACCCCAGGCAGUUAUCAACAAAGCUGUGAAGGCUAUUAGCAAGAAUUACAAAUUGAACCUUACAGGACGCUUAACCCACCUUGCUCACCAGCAAGCAACUUUUCCUGGGCAUCUUCGGGCGGUGCAGGAGCACUUUCUGGUGAUUUUGCUUCUUUUGCAUUUGUUGAUUCUGGUGUUGCAUCAGACACAUUCACAUUUAUGGCAACCUUCUUGUCUGAUGAAUUCAUAUCCAUGUUCACAGCUUUUACUCCGCUAGCACUUUCAGCUUCCGGAGAAUGCUCAACAGGAGGUCCCUUUGAUUCACCCUUAGAAGCCUUCGAUUCACCCUUAGAAGCAGCGGAAUGAGUAGGAGAGAUAACUUUGGGCAGACCGGGACGAGCUGACUCCAUAUCUACAAAUUUGAAAAAUUAUAGCCUACAUCUACUGUUUAAUUUAAUACAUUCAUAUUUAAUGGAACGAGAGGACUGAUUCAUACCCUGCACUAGCACCAAACUCCCAGCAUUUUCUGUGCUACUGGUUGUUGACUCCAAUAUGCGGCUGAUGGUUUCUCUGAGAGUUUUAUUUGGAAGAAGGUCAUCUGCUAAUAUACUUGUAGCCCCACAAACACACAUCGACUUGCUAAUAAUGUAGUCUCUAAUGCCUGGCAGAGAAAAUCACAGGAACAACUCAAAAGCAGUUUGAAGGUGUAGCAAGAGAAAAAUGGGGCAGGAAGUAGAAAGAAAAGAAGAGUAAUUAAUUAAGGUAUGUGAUGGAAACAUAUGUUCCAAACCAAAAGGAAUAAACAAAAAAUAAAAAAAUUAAAAAAAAAUAGUCGCAUAUCAGAGUAUCAUAAACAGGCACCGAACAACUGCUCAACUGCUAUGCCACCAAGCGACAAUACAAGAAAAUUAAACUCCAAGAACUAUGACACUUACAUUUGUCACAAAAGCUCCUGAAACAGCACUUGCUUGUUAAGACAGCAUCUUUCAUAACUUCUUUACACAAUGGGCAGCGCAAUUCAGGUGGAAGAUCACUGACAGGUCGAGUGGUAGGAAGACCCUCUAUUUCCUUCUCAAAAGCAGCUCUAUUAGAAACAGCAGAAGUCAUCAGAGGCUGUCAUAAUAGUUUAUUUGCAUAACAACACGCAUGAAAUUGUGAAGUUAGCAGCUUACUCGUUAGGCUUUAGAACAGCAACAGCACCACUUGGCAAAGCAUAAGAGCCAUCAGGAGUUGCCAUCAACAUUGAUUUUGGAAUGCCGGUUGGUGGCUUCACUCUUUUGAUGUCAUAAUUGGGGUCACCAUUGGUGGGGCAAUGCUGAAUGAAAUGGCCUGAAAGAGAAAAUUCAUCACGCGAAUGUAAAAUGAUACUACAUUCUGAAAACUCCCCCCAACAAGAGAGAACUGAAAGCCAACUAGGCGACAUACCAGGCACUUUGCAUCUGUGACAGACAUAGCCUGCUGGCGGUGUCUUACGUUCAAACCCACCACGGCCUUCAUUAAAUAAAAAUAGGGAUAAAAAAAUAAGAUAGGCAUGUAAUACGAAGGAAAAUGCCAAAAAAAAAAAUGGCGGAAUUGUCACACACAACUAUAAACUACAGGAACAAAACUGAUUGCUACCGCCGAAAACAAAGUGGAUGUCUGGGACUGCUACCAUGCCAUUCAAAAGGGCAGAAAAAGAUAGUACAAAUGUAAAUCAGAUUAUUUCAAACUAUCUCUGGAUACACAGUCUGAGAGCAGAAAGCCUACUAGCUAGAACACAUUAAAAGCCAAUACCCAGUUAUAGUUCCACUAAAGUGGGGUCCUGGAAGAAAAGUAUUAUGGACAGAUAAACUUAAAGAUUUUUCAUGAAAUGGCUGACCUUGAGACCGUACAGUUGCAAACCCACCAUUGAACUGGCAAUGGUCCUAUUUUUGUAGUUAAGCAGAAAAUUAGAUAAAGCAUACAAUCAAUAUAGUAAUUUGCAAAUAUUAUUACCAAAACCACGGCCAGCCACCAUCCUUCCACCCAUUCCUCUGCCGUAACCUCGGCCAGAACCAUAUGCAUCUUGAGCUUGGCUGCAGAAUAUGUUCAAAUAUGGUGAAAACACUUCAUUGUAAAGUAAUCUUUGCUCAACCACAAUAUGCUGCUGAGCAUUAUGUCCUUAAUAUUCCCACAGCAAUUACAAGAAAUAUGAUAAUAAUUCCGACUUUGAAAAGAAUACUACAAACUCAAUUAAUCUUGAUUAUCUCACCGAUUCCAGUCAAGGGCGGGUGUAUCAAUCAGAGCUUUAAUCUUGCUAUCCUCAUCAACAUGGUCAGCAGGAGAAAGAUCUACUGCUGGCUUAAUUGAUUGAGAAGGAAGAACUUCAGGAAUAGUGUACAAAUCAUUGCCAAACUCAUCCCAUUCAGAUUCUUCAGGCUGCAAAUUGUGAUAAAUUGAUAUUAUAUUGUCCGGUAUUGUCAACCCGUAUUAUUGGCCAGAAGUUCUCGUAGAACAAUGCCAACCAUAAGACUGUCUCGGCUGGCACUAAAUCAGGCUAAAAUAGAGAAUCCUUCUGAACAAUGACUCAGUUAUUGGACUAUAAAACAAACAAGUACUUCGCUUACAUAUUUCAUAGUGGAUGGAUCAGUGACCAACGUGCUACUAGGCGGAAAGGCAUCUUCCACCUUAUCCUCUAGAACUUUUGGCCUGCAUAUGCAAUGCAUAUCUCAAGAUCUAGCUACUAAACAAACUUCAUCAUCAUUAUGCAACAUCUUCUGUAUCUAACUUGAUAGCAACACCACUACAAUAACUAAACUCACUGAUGGAAUCACAAAUUAAGAAUAAAUAAGAAAGUCCUCAAAUGCUCAAAUUUCAAAGAGUGAGAUAGUACUCGUCUGGUUCAGUAACAAUAGGCUUCCGAGGCCGCCCAGGAACCCGACGAAUCAAUACUGAUGUGUUUUUGGGUAUCAUAGCAGCUUCAUCUACAUAUUCUGAAACCGGAAAGGGAACAAUACGAAGUCCAUAUGAAUGCCAAAAGAUAUUAUUAGAACCCAAAUUCCCCAAGAAAGUUAUCCAACAGAAGCAUAUAUGACAAUAUGAGUAAUAUUUUAACAUAAGGCGUGAUUCACAAGUUUAGCAACCAUCCGUUAAAUUUUAAAAGUAUAUGUAUUCUCAUGCAACUUAAAGUUGUCUCUUUUGAUUUUUUUUACAAAAGAAAAAAAGCUAAUUUCAUAUAGAAAGAACUAUAGCCAUGAAAGGAAACUAUGUGAACAAAUCACAAUAAUAUUAUCUUCAGGAAAGAACCAACCUUCAUUAGUCUGUGCAUUUGCUACCAUCAGGUCAAAAUCAGUACCCCUUCCCAAAUGCUUGGAUUCGAAAAUUCUUUCUUUCAAAUUGCCAACAGAUAUAAAUUGGCCCUCAAUGGGUAUAGAGUCGUAAUCUUUUGCACUUUUAAACUUAUAAUACACAGCCAUAUUUUUUUUUUCCUUCUUGGUUUUUCUUCUGAUCUAAAAAGCAAAAAAGACAACCACAAAAGCACAAGUAUCUGCCCUGAACGUAGCAGCAAAUGAAUUUUACGGCCUAAAAAAUUGAAAGGCCUGAUAUUAAUCUAGAAAAAACAGAAAACAACAUAGACAUGUGUACAAGUAAUUUAUCUCCUUUAAUUCCUCGGUGAUGACUCCGAUUUCUCUGCUAACUUCAACAAGAAAAUCACCGAUCAGAAUAUCAGAAAGGACUCGCCGUCAUUGGAAUCGAUAGGCCUUCACGAUUGGAAUUGGGAUAAAGGUAUAAGAAGCAAGGCUCAGAUCCACAGCAAAAUCCCUCCAGGAAAGCUACGAUCUCGCUCGCCCCGAUGCGAUUCCGAUCAGCCGCAGAAAGGAGGCGAACUUCGCAAAGAAAUCCCCAAAUUACGAAAAGAAACUGGGGAAACGCCACAGCAUCGGAUGCUCGUGUCACCAAAUCGCCAUCGCCGAGAACCUCCACGAAGCCGAGCGUCGCCGCGGCAACACAAACCCCAAAAAGCUAAGCCGAUCACGAAAUCGAGAGAUCAGUACCAGAAGAGAGGCUUUUGGGGAUCGCAAAUUCCCAGAUCGAGCAGCGACGAAACCCUAGACGAUCCGCCGUAGAGGAAUCCGCAGAGAAACCGCCGAGACGAAUCGAUUCGAACCCUCGAAUUGGAUCGAGAGUGAGGAGGAGAGGAUAAGGAAUCGGAAGGGGCGAAAAGGGUUAAUUAGGGUUUGCCCCUCGGAAGAGCGAAAGAGAGAUAUGAAGCGUUUGGACAGAGAAGGUACUCGGUUUCUCCUCUUCUCUGUGAAGAUGGUGGGGCAAAAGAGGAAAGCGCUAAUAAUGAAGUAUUUAUCGAUUUAUUUAUUAAUAUAUAUUUGCAUGCAAGGAAAUAUCCAGUGAAUUGCAACAGAUAUAUCUUUUGAGGUCCAAAUAUGGCCCAUAAUAACUUUAGCUAAUGAAGUGAACUAAUCCCUAUGGGCCUGAUAAGUUAAUCAGCCCAAAUUCGCUCAGGCUCUCCAUGGGCUUUCCUGUGUUCAGAGAAAACCCCCCGCAAAAGAAAAAAAAAAGUCCGUUCGUUUUGAUCUCGCAGAAUUUGAUGGCCUAUCAACCGUUCGAUGAGCGAGCUCCAAUCACGGACCGUAACAAUUUAGCAGGGGCCCGUGGAUCCGACGGCUGAGAGAAACGGCCGGUGGCUCCCCGCUUCGUCGCCGGAAACAAUGGCGACGCUCGCUAGGGUUCUAUCGGAGGCGACGCGGGGUUUGCGGCGUCGAAUCCACACACAUCCUCCGCCACCGCCGCACGCCGCCGCCGCUACCCCUCUUCUCGAGAGGUUGAUGAGGGAGACGGAUUCGGGCGUUAAGAUCGCGCUGGAGGAGGAGGAGGAGAGGGAGAGGGAGAGCUCCAUGGCCACGUGCCAAGCCUCCUUUUGGGAACCCCUCGCUGUAGCUCUACGCUCUUCCGCUCCGAAAAAGGCCCAAUUGGUAAUGAGAAACACAAACUCUUGGUCUUAGAUAGCUCGUUGAUGGAGAAAGAGAGAGGUUAGGGUUUUGAACCUACGAGAGUAGCGAAUCCCCUGGUUAUAGUUGGAGAAUCUGUAUCCGUAUCAAUUUUUGAUAGUCUUUGAAGUUUUUAGAACUAAUCUAGUGUUCAAAAUGUGGGCUUUUUGAUAGUUCUUAACUAGGGUUGUAAUAUCAUGGCUGCAUUUGAUUGAACUACUUUAGAUUCCUACUGUUUGAUUCCAUUUCAUUUCGUGAUGGUCAAAACAUUAAUCAGGUCUUGGAAUGGAAGUUAGAGAAACUACUGAAGGAACGUGUUCUCGAGCGUGAACCCUAUCUAAAGCUAAUUUCUUUGUGCGAGUUGUCUAGCAAUGUUCAGUUUGCGCUGAGGGUCUUCACAUCAAUGGAGGCCCAAGGAAUUCAACCAAAUACUUCCAUUUUCAAUGCUCUACUUACUCUUUACUUGUCGACGGGGGAUAUAGUUACUGCGUUGAGCUUAUUCGAGAUAAUGGACGGAAAAGAUGAGUCAAAACCUGACUUCUCCACCUAUAGUGCCUUUAUCUCCGCAUUUUCGAGGCUCGGGGAUGCUCAUAGUAUGGUGAGCUGGUACUUUGCUACAAAGAAAGCUGGGUUCUCUCCAACUACUCGGACCUAUGAGUACCUAAUCACGGGGCUGACCAAAUUGGGGAAAUUUGAAGAUGCUGAUCGGUUUUUCAAUGAAAUGCUAUCGGUAGAAAUCUUACCGAAUUUAAGCAUAUUGGAAGCCAAGAUUGAAGGGCUGUGUAAAAGGAAGGAUGUGGGCGGAGUUAGAGAGUUUCUGAAGUUCGUCAUUAACAGAGGUUGGGAACUAAAUGAGGCCAUGGCUGAGAAGCUUUCGAGGUUCUACAUGGACUUGGGAUUAGUUGAGGAAAUGGAACAGCUACUUGGUCUCAUCAGGAAAGGCACGUGUUUUGAUGUUUCAAUGCGAUUGCACUGUGGAGUUGCUCGAUUGUAUGCAAACUCUGAUCAGUUGGAUCAAAUGGAGUUUGCUGUAAUGCGGAUGUUGGAGGGAGGAAUGAUCUUUGGAUGCCCUGAAGAUAUUGAGGCAGUUAUCUGUUCUUAUUUUCGUAGGAAGGCUUUCAAUAGGUUGGAUUUGUUCUUGGACCGGAUACGUAAUUCGUACGAACUUACAAGAUCUACUUAUGAUCUGUUGGUUGCUGGGUAUCGGAAGUUUGAAUUGUAUGAGAGGCUUGAUUUGAUCAUAAAAGAUAUGAAGAUAGCAGGGUUUGCAUAAUUUUUUCGCAUCUAAAGAAGUCUCACUAAACGAAUUCUGGAAGAAAUUGGCACCCUGUUGUAUGAAUAUUGUUUGUGGCCUCUGAUUGUUGCCUUUAAUGUAUAUCCUUUUUCUCUUGGUGUUGUAUAUAUCAUUCUAUUUGGAUUGGACGUACAUAAUCAAGAAAAAUGUUGUCUAAAAUUUUGAAAAUACAUUGUAAGUGAUCCUUGACACUGAGCUCUUGAAAAUCGUUUAUUUUAUCUGUUUUCUUUUAUUGUGCUGCGACGGUAAAGGUUAAUGUGGUUUAUUUAGGCGAGAUCUAACUGAGUAAAAGAAUAGUGGAUUGUUCAAAUAAGCUGUGCAGGAUAGCAAAGCAAUACGGCAUAGUGCAAUGCCAAGCAAUAUGCCUGUGAAACCUGAAAAAGAACUAGAUUUUGCUCCCUGAGAAUUGAAGAAAUGCUCAAAGCAUAGAAUUGCAGUAAUUGAACUGCAUAACUCAAUUUAACACUGAUCGCUUGUUCGGAAAGAUAAGAACCUGUAUGUGCCUGAAAUGUAAUGGUAGUAAUUGCAAUGAACUUUGAUCCAAUUUUCUGACUAUUGAGACGUACUCAGAUUGUGAGCCCAACAUAUUGAAGGAACUCUUGAAAGUAAUUUUGUGGAGAAGUUUUAGAGUUUAGCUCAUGGGGACCUCACGGCUAAUUCUAUCUAGAAUUAUGUUAAUUAUUAUUUAUGUGUUGUUCUCCCUGCGGUGAUUCUUGCAGUAGGUAAAAAGACGGCUUUGGUGUAUAUAUAUGUAGAUAUAUAUAGUCAUGGAAAGCCAACUAUUUUUUAUCUGGGAAAUUUUGCCCUCUACGACUUCCUAAUGCCUGACGAUGAAUGCUGAUAUAUCAUAUAUAUACUGAGAACUUUCGGUUAUGAAUCAGAUGUGUGAUUUUUACUAUUCUACGUCUCUAGAGAGACUUAUUAAUAUCUGUGACUGUACUAACGCCCGGCAGUUUCUGAUAUAUGUAGCUCUUAAUGAUGGUAGCUUUUUUGUCCCAUCUAAACAGUUUAUUAUAUAACUCUGUUAAUGUAUACAGCUGUUAUCAAAUGUCAAAUUCAUACGUAUGGUCGGAGGGAAAUAACAGGUGGUUAGUUCAGGGGUCUAAUUUAUUAUUAUUGUUUGUUAAAUCUAUGUUUACUAAACACAAUUAGCUUUUCUUUCAAAGAAAAAUAAAAGAUAUGUUAGUUGUGGUUGUUGAUACAGUUGCGCCCGCAGAAUAGCCAUCUACAAGUUGACUUUUCUGUUGGCCACUCGAGUAGAGUGAUAAAUCAAGAUUCAUUAGAGCAAUCGCGCCUGAGGAAGUCUCCAAUAUUUCUUACCUAGCUAGCACCCUGAUAAUCCAUUUUCACCCAAUCAAUCAUUCAAAAAUAACACAAUUGCUUUCGUUUCAACGUAGAAAGAAAACCUCUAGAUUAAUCUAAACAGAACGGUUAAACACUAAAUAAGUAGGUAUUCAAGAUGCACCGGAAGUAGAAUACGAUUCUUCUCUAACUUCAGUUUUACCUGCAUAGUAAAAUAACAAGAAGAUUGAAGGUAACAUAAUAUAUGAUAAUACUCGAAAAGGGAUUAUGAUUAUUUCCAGUUUCCACCACAGUACAUAAGCACCGACUUGCAAUAAAAUAAGACGUUGUUCACUCUAGAUAUAUCAAGGAUGGUCAGCUAGAAAACAACAUUGUAGAUUUAAAUUGUUUCUGAAACUUGCAAUUCCCAAAUAUAUCGUACUUAUCAGGUAUUUCAGAUUUUUCUUUCGUAGAUAGGCAAUGAGAAGAAACAGCAAAAGAACACCAAAAACCCUUCAGGAGGGAGAGGGGCAAAAGAAGGCAAAGCAUGAAACAAAGAAAUCUCAAGCUACCAAACAAGGAGGAAAUAUUGAAAUGGUAUGCUUAAGUCACUUUCAUCUACAACACAAAGCAAAGAACAAAUUGAUGCUGCCAUGGUAAGUGGUAACACUUUCACAGAACCGAUUGGCUGAACUUACUACUGUGGGGAAGCAUGAUCACACAUUUUUAUGUGUAGAACAGGUUAAGGAAACAGGAGAAAAUUAAAUCGACAGGAAAUCAUAAAUAAGAGAAGUGGAGAAGCAAUUUGACAAAAAAUGAGAACUUGUAGUGACAGGAGGAAAACAAAAAAUCAUCAUGGUAAAAGAUAAAUAGCCAAAUUACUUAUAAUCUGCUGGUUGUCCAACUUGAUUAGUAAUGAAAUUUUGAGAUCUACAAUUUGUCAAAAAGGAGGCAAAAACUUGAACCGGAUUAAAUGGUUAAGGAACUAAGCAUUGGAAGAACUGAGGACUUCUUCCGCAUUAGUACUGGACGCAAGGCUUACAAAGCAAGAAAAUGAAUAAACAACAAAAUCUUUAUCGCGACCGAAUAAUAAAGAUCAAAUUUAAGAGUAAAAAGAAAUACAGUUCAACACACAAGAUUCUUUAUGGCAUCAUAUACUUGCACUUUAGCAUAAAUGACACAGAGAAUACGAAGGAAAAUUUUCUCAAAGUACUUGUUUAUUGUAAUAUAACAAAAGAUUUAAAUGAUUCCUUUUUGGCUGACAUGAGAAAUAACUUAUAAAAUAUACAGGUUCACAAGUUACCUCAAGGUCGAACAGUAGCAUAGAAAUAUAGCAACUUUAAUACAGGGGAAAAAGAAAAAACAAUUUGUCUUUUAAAAGUUAAGUGUAAGUGCAGCCGAUGCCUGUUUAAUUUAGUCCAUACAUAGCAUUAGGAAAACCAAGCUUGUAAAGUGAAAAAAAUUAGAUAACUAUGAGGGGAAAAGAGAAAAAAUAUCGAUCAUUUAAAUUAUUGAGAAGAACUCGAAAAAAAAUAAAAAUCGAGAAGAAGAGUUAUCUCACUGCCGAAUGAAGUGGAGCAGUUAGCAACUUUAUGGUGACGCAUCACAGGAAAUUACACAGAAAAUGAAAUUGUUGAAAUUUGAAUGAAAAUCAGUUCGCGAGCCAAAAGAUCCCUUUUUCGACGAUAAAGAGUUCGCAAGAGAUCAAAAGAUACAAACUUUAUUGACAGAGAGGAGCAUUACUGUACAAUUACGAGCUGGUGAGUCCCUCUGUUGCAUCCGAUCCCCCUUUCCUCGUCCUCAUCUCCCCACCAACCCUCCCGCUCUUCUCCUCCUCCUCCGUCCUCAUCGAUAUCGGACUCCUCCGAUCCGGACCCCUUCGGCACCGUCACCACCAGCUCCCCGCCGUCGUAGGAGGCAGCGGCAAGCGCCGGCCUCGUCGACGGGGGGAGCCGGAACCGCCACCGGUCGAGCUCGAGGUCGUCGAGAACCUCCUCGGCAGCGGCGGCGGGGGGCCUGAUCACAACCUUAAUGACGCCGGGGUGGAUCCGGAUCGCGUGGGCGCGGACUCCGCCGUCGAGACCCACUGCGGCGGCGGCGACGACGAAGCGGAACCCUUCGGGGUCCUCGUGGACGGCGACGUCGGCGUCGGCGGCGAGGGGGAGUUCAAGGACCUUGCUGAAGAUGUGGGGGAGGCGACGGAGGUGCUUCCGCCUCCCUCCGGUAGCCGCCGCCGAGCGGACCGGGUGGACCCUCAUCCCUCUCCUCUCCCCCAAAUCCAAAACCCUAGAAGCCCCCUGUAGAUAUGACGUAUAAAGCCAAUUAGAUUGCAAAGCGAUCGAAAAUAUGGCAGAAAAUAAGCACAGAUUCUCCAAAUCGGAACUUGGUUGAUGAGAUCGUACAAUUGGAAUCAGAGAGGAAAAGGGAGGAGAAAAACUCUUAUCCCAAACUUCGCAGGCGAUUGGAAAUGGCGAGAACUUGACAAUAAUAAGAAUCCAAACCUGACUGUGAAGGAUAUGGAGGUGCUGAAGCGACGGAGACAAGAUAGCUAUGGAGCCCAUGGCUUACUAGAGAAAUGAGGAAGGGGACGUAUACUGGUUUUUUUUUUCUUUUUUCUUUUUUUUUCGGAACACGUCAGAUACUGAGAUACCAUGUUUAUAGUUUGCAUUUUCUCACUUUAAUAUUUUAUUAUAAUUAUAAUUUUUAAAAUAUAUCAUUUUCAUAUUCUAUAAUUUUUUUAUUAUUUUUUUUAUUAAUUUUUUUAUUAAAUCAGUAAUAAAGUUAAAAAUAAAAUGAAUAUUUGAUAAACUAUAAGUAAGGUAUUUAAAAUUUUUUGUCUAUAAUUUAGCAAAAAGUUAACGAAGGGGCCGUCGAAAAAAAUAAAAUAAAAUCACUGGAUAAUAAAUUGAUACACUUUAAAUCACAGAAUACUAAAGUGAGAAAAUGCAAAACUAUAGGGUGGUAUUUGAAGUUUACUCUUGUUUUAAGGAUAAACUUUAAAUACCACCACGUGGUUUCGUACUUUCUCAUUUUAGUACCCUAUGGUUUAAAGUGUAUUAAGUUAGUAUUCUAUGGUUUCAUUUUUAUCUAUUCGUCAGCUUUUCUGUUAAUAUUUUAUUAAAUUAUAUACAAAAAAACUUCAGAUACUCCAUCUAGAUUUAUCGAAUAUUCAUUUCAGUAUUCUUUAGUUUUAACUUUGUCAUGAAUUUAACUAAAAAAAAUUAAUGGAAUCAAUAAUAAAAAUAUAAAAAUAAAAUCGCAGGAUACUAAAUUGAUACACUUUAAACCACACAGUAUUAAAGUUAGAAAGUGUGAAACCACGAGGGUGGUAUUUAAAAAUUUUUCUUUUUUUUUUAAACUAAUGAUAUGAUAUUCGUAUAUAAUUAUUGUACAUAUAUUAUUACACACAUAUUUUCUUUUAUUUUUCAACAACUGUAAAUUCCUACUAAAGUUUUAGCAACUGUAAAUUUCUAUACAAUUAGUUUGGAUAUAAGUAAAUACUACUUAUUUCAGAAAGAAAUAUAAAUUUCGAAAUAAAUAGAAAUUAGACAAAACUUGCAGUUUGGAAAAAAUUAGGUUGUUCUUGAGAAUAAGCUAAAUAGUAUUUAAAUGAUUAGAUUGGAACAAAAAAAAAUGAGAAUUAUAAAUUUAAAUUAAAAAUAUUUUAUCUAAUUAACUGGCAUCAAAGUAUUAAUUAAAAAUAAAUUAAUAAAUUUAUUAGCUAUGAAUAUUUUAUAAAAUAAUAAAAAUAUAUUAAAUUAAAUAUAUUUUUUAUUUAGUUGAGAAAUUAUUUAGUUGGAUAAUUAGUAAAAAAAUUAAUUAGAUUAAUAAAAAUAUUAAUUGUUUAUCGAUAUCAAUAUAAAUAUUAGUUUAUUGAUAAAUACAUUAAAUUAUUAUUAAUUAAUUAGAUAAUUAAUUAAUUAUAAAUAAAUAAAUAAAUAUUUUAUUAUUUGAACAAUAAAUAAUGAUUUAAAUAUAUUAAUUAGAUUAAUUUAAUAAUUUAAUAUUAUAAUUAAAAUUAAAUUUAGACUUUAAUUAGUUUUGUUUCCACUUGAGAAUAAACUUGUUCCAGCAAAAAAAUGAUGGAACAGUAGUUCUAAACUUAUACCGAAUUAUAUCAGCUUAUUUCAGAAAUUCAAAAAUUACUAUUUUUUGAGUAUAAAAAUUUAUAUUUGAAAAAUAAAAGAGGAAACAAGAUUUUUUUUUUUUGAGAUAAAUAGGUAACAUGUUAUCCGUUUCAUUUAUUUUAUUUAAAAAUAAAUUUAUUUGAAAAUAUCAAUCAAUUAAAAUUCAAAUUUAAAAUUUAGAUAUUAAUUACUAAAUCUUUUGUCACUAGUGCUAGUGCUGGGAGGGCCAGCAAAUGAUGCAAGAUUUAGGGGUGAGAAAGGAAUG